Molecule: non-coding RNA, 46001 nt
Organism: Oryctolagus cuniculus (rabbit)
Lineage: Eukaryota; Metazoa; Chordata; Mammalia; Lagomorpha; Leporidae
Source: RefSeq, a predicted model, not a curated record
AAAAGACAUGAAUCAAGAAUUUCUGGGACAAGAAAAAAAAUACCCCCCAUUCAGCUUUUAAGGCACAUGCAGAUAAUUCUUGGUGAUCUGAUUCUGGAGUUGUCCUUUCUCCUAAGCCCUCUUUGCAUGGUCAGAAUGGGGAUAUCUAUGAAUGAGAUUUGAAUGUGGUUCACAUUGGGUGUACCACUUGAAUGAAUUGGCGUGUGUGUAUUUGCUGAGGUAGAUUCAGCAGCUUUGUUUAGGAAGAGAAACCCAAGAGAGCAGUGUGAAAAUAUUUCUUGUGUCCCUAUGAGACACCAAGUGCUUUCCUUUAUCAGUGUGUUCUCAAAGCAAUCCACAGAGGCAUAGAAAUGUGUGUAGUUAUGUGGCUCAAAUGUGGGUUUGAACCCUGGUCUUAGCCACUGCUUUGCCCCAGAGGUGUAGGCCGUAGAGGGAAACCAAUGGUUUUGCUCUCCAGGCCCCACUGCUCCAAGGGCAAACCUAGUCCAGAAGACUCUACCUUCAGUAACCUUUCCGUUUCCUCCUGUCCAGUGCUGGCCCAGUGCUCCUACCCCGAUCCAGGAGCUUACCUAAGGGCUCUGGAGUAAGACCAUGCUAAGGGGAUUCAGUCAUUUUGAUUUUAUUACUUCAUUCCAUUCAUCUUAUUCCUUCAUUAGUACUCUUUUCCAUUCAUCAAGGUGAUGAUAGCCCUUCUGAAUUAAACAUGGUUUCUCUUAGGAGAGAGCUCAAAGGAAUCAUGGAAAUCAGACAAAGUGACACAGUAGCUACUGGCAGAAGGAAGCCCACUAUAGGCAUUGGCAGGUGAUCCCAGCAUCACAGCAGAGCCAUGUGGAGGCAGAUUGCUGUGCACAGAAGUUAUGGGAUCCUACUGGGCUGAAGUUCUGCCCUGGUGGCUCAGGGUGGAGGUUGGGGUGGCCCCAGUAGCAUUUAAAGAGCAGACAGGACUCCUCUAGAGAGAAAGAGGCUGAUGUGAAGAUGGCCCCUCUAUGUGAGCUGGAAGGCCACAAGGUUUGAGAGAUGUCAUUGUAUAAAGCCUUUGUCCAGAUGGUGUCCAAUAAGAUGUCUGUCCUCUGAUCUGGACAGAAGUCCCAAGUUUCUUGAGCUUUCCAGUUGAGUUCAACAAUCUGUUACAUGCAAGGUUCCAUGCUAGGUACCAGCUGCAUUGGCUUCAAGAUUCCUUGGUGUUUAUAGGUCAGCUUCUAUAUCCAGCUGCAGGAUCCUCCAUCUCCUUGCAGCCACUGAGAAUCUGACAGGGGCGGUGUAGUGCUUGGCCACGUGGUGCUUGCACACCUAGGGCUCUAUUUCUGUUGCUCCCCUGACAGUGCUCUCACCAUGGUGACUCACGGUGUCUGUUCACCAUAGCUGCUGGGAUAGUGUAGUUCUGUCUUCCUUUUAGCUUCCCAGCAGCAGCUACACUGUGACCACGGACUCCCUGAGUUAUCUUUCAAUUUUAUUGCCUAACACAUCCUGGACUUCCCUACUAUUCAAACUCUCUCAAGUAGCCCUUUUUAAAAGAAUUGUUUUAAAUUUUAUUUAAAGGAAGAAAGGGAGGGAGGAAAGGAGGAAGAGAGACAUGUAGCUUUUCUUUACUAGUUCAUACCCCAAAUGCCCACAACAGCCAGAGCUGUGAGAGAGAGAGAGAGAAAGAGAUUGAUUGAUUCAGAGAGAGAGAUAGAUCUGCUCUCUACUAGUUCACACACCAGAUGCCUGCAACAGCCAGGACUGAGCCAGGCCAAAGCAGGAGCUGGGAACUCAACCUGGGUCUCCCAUGUGAAUAGCAGGGACCCAAAUACUAGAGCCACUACCUGCUGUCUUCCAGGGUGUGUAUUAGCAGGAAACUGGAAUUGGGAGUGGAGCCAGGAUGUGACCCCAGGCACUCUAGUACUGGAUGUGGGUGUCCCAAGUGUUGUCUUAACCGCUGUGUCAAAUCAAAUGCUCACCCAUCUUAAAUAACCUUCUAACAAUUUCUUUCUCAUCCCUUUUUAUUUGACUGCUUUAUUUCUAGUUUUCAUAUUCUUUGAGUCAUGAUCCAAAUGAAGUCCAUCUAUUACAGUUAUUUCAUAUGUCUCUUAAAUCUCUCUUAAUCAAUAGAUUGGAAGGUAUUUUCUGUAAAUGGCUGGAUAAUUAAUAUUUCUGUCUUUGAAGGCCAGAUACUCUGUCACAACUACUCAAGUCUGACAUUUUACCAUGAAAGCAGCUAUAGAUAAUAGAUACAUGAAUUGACAUGGCUGUGCGCCAGUGAAGCCUCAUUUACAGAAAUGGUAUGGUGGCUGGAUGUGGCUCAUUGACCAUGGUUUGUUGACCCCUGUUUUAAUCUAUACAUGCUCUAUUUCUUCUAUUUCCCCUGUGCAGUUGCUUGUUGAAGACAUUGUGUCAUUUAUUGCAUGGAGUUUUCCACAGCCUGGAUCCUACUGAUCGCAGGACCCUCUGUGCUCUGCAUUUGCUGUUAUGCUCAUGACUCCUGGGGCCACAGCUAGUGCAGGAGUUUUGCGGUAUUGAUGAUACAGGAGACACAUGCCUUUUAAGAAAGGAGGAAGAACUUCAGUUGUACACCGUUUUCCGAGCAGAGUUAGACAGUGAGAGACAGAGAACAGUCUGCCUUCCAUUGGUUCACUUCCCAAAUGGCCACCACAGCUGGCGUGCUGUGCUGAUACGAAGCCAGGAGCCAGGUGCUUCCUCCUGGUCUCCCAUGUGGGUGCAGGGCGCAAGCACUUGGGCCAUCCUCCACUGCACUCCCGGGCCAUAGCAGAGAGCUGGACUGGAAGAGGAACAACUGGGACAGAAUCCGGCACCCCAACAGGGACAAGAACAUGGAGAACUGGUGCUACAGGCGGAGGAUUAGCCUAUGUGGGGAAUGGAUGAAGAGUUUGAACAGCCUGAGUUUGAAAUACUGGAUCUAGGAUUCCUUACAGAGUGUGUGACUGGCCAGAGGUCCUGACACCUUUAAGACUCAAGUGGAAACACAGCAUCUACUAUCUAUGGAAGGUUUCUUGUGAAGAUGAAAUAAUACUGGUUAUGACACAGGAACAUGUGAGGUCCUAAUAUUACAUUCGUUAGACAUGUGUCAUUUCUUUCAGGUAAGUCUUGUUAAAUUUAUAUUAGGCCAUGCUAUUUGUUGCAUAAUAUCAAAAUAACUUUAUUCUUAAUAGCACCAGUUUGUGAGUAUUGAUAUAAAAGCUUUUUCUUUUGUAAAGAUUACUUUUGUAACCUAAAAUGAUCCUUAAUUGUCGUCAUACAUUUUAACAUGCUAUUUUUAAUUUUUAUCUCUUUUUUAAAUUAAAAAAAUGUUAAGGUAAACACAUUUCAUGUAUUUCAUGGAUACAGAUUUAGGAACACAGUGGUACUUCCCACGCAUGCUCCCACCCUUCUUCCUCCUUCUUUUCUUAUUUCCUCUCUUAAUUUUUAUAAUGAUAUAUUUUUGAUAAGUGAAUAGUUCAACAAAAAUACGAAUUACACAAACGCUGUUCCUCAACAGUAGAGACAAGGGAUGUAAACAAUUAUCGAAUCUUAAAAUGUCAGUUUCACUGCUACACAUUACAUUUUUGGUACACAAAUGUACACAGAUCUGGUAAAAUACGAUAUUUGUCCUUUUGGGACUGGCUUAUUUCACUAAGUAUAAUGGUUUCCAGUUGCAUCCACUUUGUUACAAAAGGCAGGAUAUCAUCCUUUUUAUGGCUGAGUAGUAUUUCCUAGUGUAUAUGUACAACAGUUUCUUUAUCCAGUCAUCAGUUGAUAGACAUCUCGAUUAAUUCCUAGUAAGCAUUCAUACUUGCAAAUCAUGAUAAUUUGGGUCAUUUUAGCUUCUAAUUAUACAUUUUUCCCCUUUGAGGCAUAGCUAGAGGUUCUAGGACAAAAAAACAUUCUGGUGAUGUUAGGGUUCCUUUUUCCUUCUUGAUUUAUUAGCAUGCUUCAAAAUAUGAACAAUAUUUUCUAUGGAUUCUGAUUUUCUUCAAUGACAUUUACCUUUUACUUUCCCAGAAUCUACUAAGAGAUUCAUGCAUUUUUCUUCCUCUUAUGUGAUGAGUUAAAUAAUGUAUAUUUCUAUUAAAUUAUUGUUGAAUUUCCAGAUAAAGUCUUUAUUAUUUUUUGACUCUGUUUUAUAUUAUGCCACAGGAUUCAAUUUUAUCAGACUUGGUUUAUGAUGUUACAAUUUACAGCCAUUUCAGCAUUUUACUCCUCCUCUUCUUUCUCCUCCUCCUCAUGCAUGAAUAAGCAUGAUCAGACAUAAGCUGAAUGCAUAAAAUAUCUUAAAAUGUACUUACAUAAUUUUUACCUUUAACAUUAUUCUUAAGGUAUGUGUCAUUACUUUACUUCAGGAAAAUGAUUUAGAACAGUUAAGUGUCCGAGUCAUAAAAUAUUUCUUUGCAAUAGAGCAAGAAUUUUAAUGUAGUUCCAAUUAAUUUCUAAGCCUCUGAUUUUAAUCAUUUCAUGUAUCCUUUAUUUUUAGUGGAAAGAUCGGUACAUAGAUUAUUUCUGAGAGUUCUCUUUGUCAAAUUUUAUUUUCAGGGGUUGGGCUCAUCUAGUAAAACAAGUUGAAAUGCUUUCAGUCUUUUGAAAUGUUAUUAAAUAUUUUAAAUAUUAAAUUAAAAAUUUCCCCUCUAUCUGAAAAUAUGUUUAUUGUUCCAGAAGAGUGUAUUUUCAUUUUUCCUGUAUCAAACUUGCUUGAUUUUACUGACUUUGUAAAAGAAAAAGUACUCUAUAUAUCAGUUAUGAUGUUUUUCUCAGUUUGAUUUGGUUUAAGAAUUAUGUCUUAGCUUCUUGGAUUAAAUACCCAUUUCAUUAACUCUCUAAAAUGAUCAUGAGACCAAACAAAGCUCGUGUUUUUAUCCUUCUUCCAAUGUCCUACUGAAAAGACCCUACUCUUGUAAUAGGGAUAAAUGCACACAGUCAAUAAAGCACAAAAUAUGUAAGAAAUUCAGUGAUCAAGGGAGCAUGUGACAGUAGGGAAGGGUUGGUGAGUAGGAAGGAAAGCCCUCUAGGAGUUUAGGGGAAGGAUUCUACCCUACCUCACACACAUGAACAUGGACUACAGAGCAAAUCCAUUAAACCAUGACAUAAAUGUUCUCACGUGUGUCUCUUAGUACCACAAGAUCUUUGACAAUUCAUUUGUCCAGCGAACAGUAUAAACAAUGAGAAAAGUGAACUCAAGAAAACAGAAAUUGAAAAAAAUACAUUAGUAAAUUUUAAAGAUUAAAAAUAUUUGAGAACAACAACAAAAAUCCCACUGAUAAAACAAUGAUCACUAAACUAAAUUAAAAUUUCAGCAGAAGUAGUGGGUAUUACAUAACCAAACCAAACAAGAAACAACACACAAAGGAUAGAACUACAUAUCUAGCCUAAUGUUUUGUUACUCCUAUGCCAAAUAUCCUCAUUCCUCUCCCCACAGGCCCUCUGCAGAUUACUUAUGUAACUUGAUAAUACUUUGCCUGUCUGACGAAUGCCUCUCUGUCACAGACAGGCACUUGAUGUACUUUGGUCAGCAAAAAGUGAGUGAGUGGACUUAAUGAGUAUGAUGCUGAACCGGGACUUUGACCACCUGUUGGGCCCCACUCUCUUCUCUUCGCUUCUCUCUGAAGACAGCCAUGGAAAACCAUAUGGGGCUGCUCAUUCAGCCCAGGGCCUAUCUACAAGUAACCUGGGGCAGCUGAUGCCCACAUAGCACAAGGGAAAUAGAAUCCUUUCUUAUUAGAAGCACUGAAAUGUCAGGAUUGUUUGUUAUCACAAUGUUUGGUAGUCAGCUGGCUGAUUCCACAAGCUUGAGUAAUUAUCCCAAAUUCGGGGGGGAAGCAUAAGAAUGAGUGAAUAUGAAUUUUAAAGAUAAAACUUGAAAGACAGGUGGGAUAAGAAUCCAGAACACAUGGGGAAGGAGUUCAAAAGCAUUUUGUGAUUAAAUUGGAAGCACAAGAAGGGCAUGAGUCGAUCAGGGAAUGAUUACAUUCUAUAGAACAGUAAAUAUUUCUGUUGUGAAAUGUGUCACUAUUGUUCCCUUAUUUUUUAUUCAAUGCAACUUUGCAGAUUUCUUCUUUCAAUUCCAGGACAUUUUUCCUGAUUACCUCUGAUCCUCAAGUGUGUAGAACAAUGAGUGAUACCAAGUUAGUUCUUUUUGAAGCAUCUAAAGGAAAAUGACUAUUUUUCAUGAUAAUUCAUCUUCUUUCUGUCUUAUUGGUCCCUUGUUCCUGGCAGAAAACCAAAGGCCCCUGCUCUGUCCUGAAUGUGCACACCCCCUACACACAAGUUCCCCUCAUGGUUCCCAUGUUGGAAGUUAAUUGCCGAUGUUGUAGUGUGAAGAGGUGGGCCCUUAGGGUGUGGUUAAGUCCUGACAGUGAGGCCCUCACAGAUGAUGGACUGCCGGGGUGGAGGGAGUGGGUGCUGCCUUUCCCUCCGCUGAGGGCACAGCAGUGAGGCAUCAUCCUGCAAGCCCGCGGCAGCCCUCACUGGACACACCAAACCUGUGCUGCCCUCACAGGUGCUCCCCACGCUCCAGCACUGGGAGGAGUGAAUUUCUAUCUUUUGUGAAUCACCUACCCUCAGGCAUUUUGUUAGACCAUUGCAAGCAGACGAAGCUGUUUUAUCCUUGGUUUUCUGAGUUGGAAGGGGUACGGGAAGAUAGCUUCAGAGCCUUCACUUUCUCCAGAGAAACAAGCAGGUUCUCUCUCUCUUUUUUUUUUUUUUUUUUUUGACAGGCAGAGUUAGACAGUGAGAGAGAGAGAGAGAGACAGAGAGAAAGGUCUUCCCUUUGCUGUUGGUUCACCCUUCAAUGGCCGGCGCAACUGGCGCGCUGCGUCCAGUGCACCACUGCUGAUCUGAAAGCCAGGAGCCAGCUGCUUCUGGUUUCCCAUGGGAUGCAGGGCCCAAACACUUGGGCCAUCCUCCACUGCACUCUCGGGCCACAGCAGAGAGCUGGCCUGGAAGAGGGGCAACUGGGACAGAAUCCAGUGCCCCGACUUGGACUAGAACCUGGUGUGUCAGUGCCGCAAGGCAGAGGAUUAGCCUAUUGAGCCACGUCACCGGAUGAAACAGGCAGGCUCUUCUUCACUCCCUGCUGCCUAGGCUGGAAAAGGGAAAGCUCAUCCAGUGAACUGUGGUUGAGAAAUCAGUUCUUUUGCUUUCUGUAGAUCUGUUGUAAUACAUAUUUAAAAACUAGUUAUUUAAAAGUAAAAUCCAAGGCAUACUGGAGUUCUUGUUUCUCUUAUUUCAAAGUGUAGCAUGGUCUGUGCUGUGGUGUAGCAGCACCUCCUGCAGUGCCAGCAUCCCACAUGGGUACCAGUUUGAGUCCUGGCUGCUCCACUUCCAAUUGAUUUCCCUGUUAACAUGCCUGGGAAAGCAGCAAAAGAUGCCCCAAGUGCUUGGACCCCUGCCACCCACGUGGGAGACCUGGAUGAAGCUCCUGGGUCCUGGCUUCCAACUGCCCCAGCUCCGGCCUUUGCGGCCAUUUGGGGAAUGAACAAGUGGAUGGAAGACCCCCCUCUCUCUGUCUCUCUGUCUAACUCUGCCCUUCAAGUAAAUAAAUAAAUCUUAAAAAAAAGACAAUGCAUCAUACACCAUCAUCUCUCAGUUGAUAAGGAAAAAAAGAGCACUUGAGUUUUAAGAUAAAAACACAUUUUCUCCUAAGUAGCAAACAUAUGAGGGCACUUCAAAAACUUCAUGCAGGGGCCCGCACUGUGGUGUAUUGGGCUAAGCCUCUGCCUGCUGUGCCAGCAUUCCAUAUGGGUGCCCAUUCAUGUCCCAGCUGUUCCUCUUCUGAUACAGCUCUCUGCUGAUAGCCUGGGAAAGCAGUGGAAGACAGCCUAAAUGCUUGAGUGAUCAGAAAUCUGUGAGUGAUCAGAGCCUAUCACUCCAGGCCUCUGCCUCACAGGCAACAGUUGAUGAUUUGGGGAGAGAGAGCUGCAACAGUGAAAUGACAGUGAAAUUGCAGACAACACAGCAAUGCCUGGUCAGCCAUCCCCCAAAUACCUGUAGGAUGAACACAGAUGACCUCGAGGUAAUAACCCACAUGAGGUCAUCCCAUCCGCACUCAGUGAGAAUCCCCAUGUUUGCGGCAGUCCUCAGGCACCCCAGGCUCUCAGGGCAGCCACUAGACCCCAUCCCACCUGCAUGUUUGCUGUUAAUUUAGGAGCAGAUGCAGAAUUCAGACCCUGGAUUCCAACACCUGUAGAAAGUCUUCUGCUAACCAAGGGCCGAGGAUAUGCUUGUGUCUUUCCAGAAAAUGCGGGACAGCCAAUUUGGGUCCCAGCCAGAAACAUCAAGCCUGCAACUGACAGUCAACCAGAACCAGCUGAACAAGACUGAGAGCCCGCCUUGUUAGCGGACGCACCUCCCCAAUCAUCCUACCCUGAGGAACUGCCCAUAGCCACAUCCAUUACUGCUUUGUACCCCACUAGCUCUGGUCAGCCACUCAAAUGGCCCACAGCCUGCAUGUGGUCAUGCCAUUCCUGAUUACCACUGUUCCUCAUUCCUACCCCUUCUGAGCAAGCACUCCUGUGGUCUCCCAUUUUGAGUGCUGGUUAGUCAACGACGGGUAAGAUCCCCUGGGGGACAACCUAAGACAGGCACAGCUGCGUAUGGAGACCACAUGGAAACGGGGUCAACAAUGGCAUGGCCAAGAAUCAUGCCUCCCGUUGCUCAAAAAUAAACGAAAAGGGGGAAAUGUAGUGCAAUGAGAAGGUGAGAAGGUCAUGCCAAGAUGGCCGCUGGCAAGUGAGUGUCAGUUACUCAGGAAUGGCUUUGAAAUCCACCUGGCAAGGGAGCCUGCCUGGUAACAGGCUGUGAUUGGAUGGCUUUGGAAACCACAUGGCAACAGAGCCUGCCUGGCAACAAGCUGUGAUUGGAUGGUUUCAGAUACUGCCUGGCAACAGGUUGUGAUUGGUUAGGGCAUAAACCACCCCUUGACUGGAUUGGCUGGCUUGGCUAUUUAAGCUGCUGUACCAACUGAAAUAAAUGAGUCUGCGGGCUGCUCACCUCUGGCCUGCUUUCACCCAACUCCGGGGGUCUGUGUGGUGACUCCAUAUCUCUUGCCCCCACCACACUCCUCCUCUCAGAAGGAAUCCAUAGCAACACCUUCCUACUGUUUACAUGUCUCAGUUGGACAUCGCUGUGCUUGAAAUCAGACUCCUCCUUGAUAAGAUGUUAAAUAGAAGAAUCUAUGAGAAGAAAACUGGGAAGAAAUUUGGGGAAAUAUCUAGCAAGCUAAUGCUCUGGUUUUAUUUUACUUUGUAAGAUUUAUUUUCUUUAUUUGAAAGAGUGCAAUGGAGAUCGGGAGAGCCAGAGAAAGAGAUCUUCCAUCCACCGAUUCACUCCCUAAAUGGCUACAAUGGCAGGGGCUAUACCAGGCCAGAGCCAGGAACCCAGAAACAGAGCUUCAUCUGGGUCUGACAUCACAGCAGGUACCCAAACACUUGGGCCAUCUUCUACUGCCUUCCCAGGGGCAUUAGUCGGAUGCUGGAUUGGAAGUGGAGCAGCUGGGUCAUGAACUGGCACUCUGAUAUGGGAUGCCCAUGUCGCAAGUGGUGGCUUAUCCCAUUAUACCAUAAUGCCAGCCCUCAACUAAUGCUCUGUUAAGGGCAAGGUUUUCCUUUCUGAAAAUAAAUUGAACUUUGAUUUGAUGUAGGAUAUAUGAUAUUGAAAUCUGAGGAAUGGUCUCCAAAGAUGAUCAGGCCCUAAUAGUUGGAACCUGUGAAGGCAGUCUUACAUGGAAGAGGGAAAUUCACACAUGUGAUUGAAUUAAGGGUCUGGUGUUGGGCAGAUUGUCCUGAAUGUUCCUGGUGGGUCUUUGGAAGAGAAAGGUGGAAGGAAACUCUACAAUAGAUGAGGAGAAAACAAUGCCAUGCUAGAAGCAGAGAUUGGAGUGGUGCAUUUUGAAGGUGGAAGUUAGGGCCCAAACCAAGAAAUAUAUGUGACCCUUAGGAGGAGCAGCAAAAGGCAUUAGGGAGCGUGUAGCCUCACCAGCACCUUGACUUCAAUCCAGUGAGACUCAGUUCAGACUUCUGGUCUCUAGAAUUGUAAGAUAAUACAUUGCUGCUGCAUUAAGCUACCAAAUAUAUGCUGAUUUCUUACAGCAGCCUUAGGAAGCUAAUACUGAUAGUACCUGGAAAAAUUGUUGUAGUUUCUGAAUUGCCCUACAUAUUGGAAGACUCUGCUCUGAAAAAAAAAAAUCCACAAAAUUUUGUUCAAUGUGCAACAUUUGGUUUAUUAGAUUUUUAUUUAUUUAUUUAUUUUUUUGAGAGGCACAUAGAAAAAGAGAAAUCUUCCAUCAGCUGGUUGACUCCCUAAAUGUCCACAAGGUGCUGGGCAAGAGUUAAAGUCAGGAGCCAAGAACUCAAUCCUGGUUCCCCAUGGGUGGCAGGAUACACAAUUAUUUAAGCCAUCACUACUGCUUCCCAGGGUCUCUAUUUAUAGGAAGCUGGAGUCAGGCGCUGGGGCCUGGGAAUCCACCACGGGUAUGUAAUUGGAACCCCAGGUAUGCUUACCCCUAGCCAAACACCCACCCCCAGUGAGUUUCUGUAGACCUAAAUGUGCCCUAGGCACUAUUCAUUUGUGGAAAUUAUUUGGAAUGAAGACUAGGAAUGAAACCUUUCAGUUUUUUAAGGAUUGAACUGUGGCCGCCUCGAGGUUGUUGAUGUUUUAACCUGGAGUGGCUGUGAAUGCAACCUUCUUUGUGGUGGGGUCUGGUUAGAUGAUAUAAUUAAGAUAAUGCCAGAGUGGGCUCUAAUCCAACUGGACUGGCAUCUUUAGAAAAGGGGGAUUUUUGGAUAUGGAGGCAGACACAUACAGGGGAGGAUGAGACAAAGACACAGGACGACACGGUCUGCAGAUGGGGAGCACCUGAGGCUGCCCGAGCUAGGAGAGGGGCAAAGAACAAGUUCCCCUCACAGCUCUCCAGGAACCAGCCCUGCAGACACCUUGCUCUCCACCUCUGAGCCUCCAGAGCUGGGAUAGUGCACAUUACACCCCUGAUGCUCCAGCCCGUGGUCUGUGGGACUUUGUUUGGGGAACCCUAGGAAAUGAGUACACAGCUAUCACCAAGGUUUUGGGCAUUGCUGCUUUUUUUUUUUUUUUUAAACAAAACUGUCCCAUGUGCUACUGCAUUCUCAUGCCCUCUCAUUCAUUACUCCUGUAGGCUACAGUCAAGCCUUCCCACUAGGAGUUGUUUAAAUCAGGUUUUGUUUUAUUUUUUUGAGUUUACAUUUAAAUUUUAAAUGAAUGAAUUUCUAGGUAGCUAAUUCUAUGUUUACAUUGGCAAGCUGCCUUACUAACAAAUCUGAAUAACUCUCUGUCCCUUGCUAUGCUUCUAUCUUUUAUUCUUUCUCAGCUACAAUCAUAAAGCCCACAUUUCAUGGAACAUGGCAUGGACAGGAUUGCUAAAUGGAUUGGGAUGGUCUUGAGUUUCCAGGACCCAAGGAGAGCAGAGUUCUGCAGAUAAUCUGGAGAUCAGGAAAGACUGGGUAGGGAGUGGGAAAGUUCUUCACCCCUACCCCCAGUUCCCAUUCAUCUGUAAAUGAGUCCAGAGUCCAGAACCAAAGUGUGCUUUUCCACUUUAAGUGGCUGAGGGCUCCUUGAGGGUUAAUGCUCUUUCUGUGCUUAAGCAUAACAAUGCAAACCAAAGAUUUCACUCCUUGGAGGUCUUGAAUAGAGCUGCUUGCAUAGUAGCUGAAGGGAUGCAGGGUUCCUGAUAGGGACUUCUCUCUGGGUUAUGCAUCUUGAGUCUGUUCACAUGCCCUUUUCUCAUCAGACACCUACCUUCUAGGGAACUGGGCAGGGCAAGAGAGUGGGUGUGAAAGCACAGUGCUCAGAUCUGUUUCCUCCCUGUGCAGUGUUGAAUGGAGUCGGGUCCCAGGACCACCAGUCAGGGCAAGGCUACCUGCAAGGGCUGGCUUUCCUUUAGUCCUAGGCUUGGAGAGUUUAUUUCUGACAUGGGAGCUGGUGAGAUGAUCAUGGAUGCAGUGGAGCUGAGCUAGCGUGUGAAGGAGAGGUGCGUCUUAAUUUGGUUUCUCUGACUUGGAGAAUUUGUAGAUCAGAAUAUUGUAAAGUUAUUGGCACCAGUUUUAGUCACACCUAUUGCUGAGAAGUGACAUUUGGGUAGAGUUUUGUAAGGUGUCCAGCACGUAACAAAUCUUCCCAGACAGACGAAUCAAUUAAUUCACAGGCUUUUAUUGGGGUUCUGCUCCCAGGCGAGGUUCCCCAGCCCCAACAGAGCAACAGAGCUGGGGGCUGGGGAAGUCACCUGUCAGAGAUUGGGAGAGCUCCUUUUAUAGAUUCAGGGCAUGGGGGUUAAAGGUUGAGGCAGGUCUGAUCCUCAUUGGUGGACCUUUAGGCACCAGCAGUGACCUUGACAAGGACUUUCUUCCCAGCAAGUACAGGUAGGAACUUUCCAUUCCUGGAAGUAUAGGACUUCCUUCCAUGCGGAUCCCAAAGCUACCAAGUUUCAAGACUAAUUUGAUGGGAAUUUAGAACAGAGAAAUAGUCACAUCAUCUUGCUAAUUCUACCACUGCUCAGAAGUCAGAAAAUCAUAAUAGCUAACCAUUCUCUAAGAGUUUACUGUGUGCAGAUCCUAUUCUAUGCAUUUUUUCCUGCAAUAAUUCAUUUAAUCCACAGAAGAACCUUUUAUGGUGAGAAAUAGAGUGGAAGGUUCGAGUAAUCACUGAGCCAGCACAUCAGAAGCAAACAUGUUUUAACAACUUGGCAAAUAGGAAAAUGAUGUUCACUUGGCUUUAAAUGCUGGGAACUGGUUUAGAAUAUGUUUAGAAUAUGCUGAGAAAGAAGCCUGCAGGCUCCCUAGAAGUUGCUUCAGGACCUGAAACACUGUUACAUGUUUCCCACACCUAGAACUCUGAGUGUGUGUGUGUGUGUGUGUGUGUGUGUGUGUUUGAAUCUAUUCAUGAUUAGUAUUAUAACAAGUUUGUUUUGCUGUUUAUGUUUUUUAUAUUGAACCUCUUUGUGUCAGUAGGAUGAUUGGUUGAUUGAUUAGUUCAUUAUUUGUUGAUUGAACACACCUGCUGUGUACCAGACCCUGGGUUAGGCACUGAGGACACACAGAGAACCAUGUUCUUGGCACUAAAAAUAUUUAUGAUCUAGCUCAAUUUUGACUGUGCCUGCUACAAUAUUCAGGCAAAAACCAACAUUUAAAUUACCCAGAAAAAAACUAAAAAGCAAAGGUGGGACUAAAGGGGAAACAGAAUCUUUUAGGUGAAGGGACUCCCUAAACCCCAGAAAUUAGGGGUAGGUUUUGCAUCCCAGUGGGUUAAGCCACCACUGGGGAUGCCCACAUCCUAUAUCAGAGUGCCAGUGGAAGUCCAGGCUACUACACCUCUAAUCUAGUUCCCUACUGAUCCUUGGGAAGCAGUAGAUUAUAGCCCAAGUAACAUGGGUCUCUGCCACCCAAGUGGGAGAUCUGGAUGGAAUUCCUGGCUCCUGGCUUCAGCCUGGCUUAGCACUGGCUGUUGUAGCCAUUUAAAGAGUGAACCAGCAGAUGGAAGAUCUCUCUCUCUCUCUCUCCACCCCCACCCUCUCUUUCUAGUAUUCUGCCUUUCAAACAAACAAAUACUACAAAACAAACCCAGAAUUCAGGACAAGGGUCUAACCUUGGUCUGUGCCAGUCUCAACUGUUCUUUCUUCUAUUUCCUUCUCCCUCUUCAGCAGAACAAAGAAGUGCCUAUAGCCCCCAGUUAGCCUGGCUGGAGGAAUCCCCUAAAAUCAUGCUGGGGGGAGCAGAGGCUGUGCCUGUCCGUUGGUCACAGACUUCAUCCUCAGCUGUAACCAUUUGUUUGCACGAAUGCAGUGGGGAGAUUUGUCUUUGUAUUUUAAUUUUUAAAAAGUAUUUUUGUCUCCGUCCUCCACUGAAAUAAAAAGGUCAACCAAGGAUCAUGAACAAAUCAUGCCUGGAGUGGUGGAGAGAAAGCAAAGGGAGAGGCAGUGCUUUGUCUGUGGAUCAGCCUGUUUAGGACAGAGCUAAAAAACAUUUUGUUUCAAGCCAAGUUUAGUGCAUUUGUCAAUAAAACCAGGCUUGGAAAGGGCAGAAAUCAGCCCUGCUUGUCACAAAGUCCCCCAUGGGUAAGAAUCCAUGCCUAGCAGAGGGGCUUGCAGAUGGCAGUGGUCUUCAUCCUAAUAAUAGUCCUGCUCUGGCCACCUGGAGCUGGGCCGCAGCAGACUCAGUGGUGAGGACUUAAAUACAAGGUAUGGCCCCAGGAUGCUGCAGUACGUGAGUGAGGAGUGCGCAGGGACAGGAGGGAGUUGAUGUAGGAUUCGUUGGUGAGCAGGCUGCUUUCACAGGCAAGUGGGGAAGUCAGAGUUUCCCAGAAAGUGCGUGGAAACUUUCACAUUAGUUUUCUUAGGGAUGUGGGGAGCUCACAGCUGGGCAGUGCCAGGAAUUUGUAGUUCAAUAGUUCAGUUCUCAGAGUGGUUGGGAACAUUGGUUAUGGUGAGAUCAGAAUCUUUGCAUACAGAUAUGCUAGCUGGAACCUUCAAACAUAGAGCAAGUGAACUUCACGAUGCAGCAGCCUCCCUUGCUUAUGGAGAGCCUGGACUGUGUUUAGGCCCUGACAAUGCUCUGCAGGGCUAAGCAAGGCCCUUGCAGCUCAAGGAUGGAGGACAGGAGCAGCAAAAGCAGAAUGUUCCCUUCAGCCAUUAGGACCCAAUGGGGCCUCCAGAUUCUCUCAGGCUUCACCUUGUGCAGUGAAGUAAAAAGAAAAGACUGAAAUGAACUGGGAAGAAGAAAGAGGACUCAUUGGGUGUGAAGACAGUUGUGGAAGAUGGAAUUCUGUUUGGUCUAGCAGGUGAAGAAAGAGGUGCGAUUGAGACCUGAUGUGUCCAGGGCUCUGUGACUUGGGGCCUGCAUGGUCUACUUGUGUAAAGAUGUUGUUGAAACACUGCUUAUACUGCAAGAUACAACAGCACCCCUGAUUGUCAAAUAGCCACAUCCUAGGUGGGAGGGUGUGUGCUCAAUGGGGCACAUGUGGGAAGCUCUUUCCCCAUCCUCUCCCACACUUUUAAUAUUUUCCCAAAUUGCUUGAUGUCAACCAUGCUGUAAUUUAUAAUCUUCUUGAAAUUAGCAUGUUUCACUUUGUUUUCUUUGCUCACUGUUUUGAAGACAGCCUGGUUAAAUCCUUCCCACUCAAGAAAUCGCUAGUCAAAAUAUUUUAGGAAGGAAGCACAAACAUUCAUUGUUUGCCUUAUUAAAAAUUAACGCAGGCAGAUGGAGAAAGACUAUGUGUGUGCUUGUCUCAGUCCUACUUGUGGUCUGUCCCUGUUCUCAUCUGGCACAUGAGGUCUCAACUCAAUAUUCUAACCCUACAAGGUUGCAGGAAUACAGGAAUGAGACUGAGGUUAAAAUAUCUUAGGGUCACACCAGGGAAGGAAGUGGAGUCAGAGCUGGAGCUGGAGAUGUUUGGGCCAGACCCAUGUUGCCCCUGAAGCACUGUAAUAGGGCAAGAAGAAGGUGUCUGUGUUUCUUGUGUAUAACAUAGUGAGAAAACUUGCCUGCUCUGAACUCCAAGCAGCACUUCCCAAAGAGAGCAGAAACUGUUUCUGCAUUUCUGGAUACUCUGCCCUCCAGAUAUUUUUGAGUCUCUUGCCUAUGAACUCCCUUGGAUUCUUUGAGUCAGCCAGGCAUCCGUGUCUGUGAGCGCUCUUUGAGUCCUUCCCCUGUGCCAGAUGCUCUCUUGGGUGAGAAUAACUUGCUUCCUGCCUUCUUCGAGGCCGCAAUUUUGUGGGGAUGUGCUCCAAAAGAAUCUUCGGCAGUAGGGGAAGUCCUCUGAUGAGGCCAGUGCCCAGUGUUCUGGGGAUCCAUGGGAGGGGCACCUGGUGGCCUAAAUUAUUCAGACAGCUAUGUUUGGGAGCACAGCUGUCAUCCUUACCUCUAGCAGUUUUCCACUCCAGGGACAAACUGCCCUAGGAAGGGGGAAAGCCUGGUGGGAAACAAACCUUCUUUCUCUAGCUGGGAUUGGGCAAGCUGCCUCAGGUGGCUCCUCAUUUAGAAUAGCACAGUCUCGAAAGUGGGUCACAGCUGAGAGCCGUCAAGUGAAGCGUUUUGUAGGGAGAUCAAUCAUGAGAAGAAACAAGUGGUCCUUAUGGUUUCACUGUAACCUACAACUUUUGAUCAGAGGGGCGGUUCUCCAUUUUAUUUUUCAUUAUCUGAAGACAGCAUUUAAAAUAAUGUUUAUUUUUUUUUCAAAAGCAGAGUAAUGGGGAUAAAAAUAAAAGGGGAAGGGUGGGGUAGUGGAAAGAUUAUCCAUUCUCUGGUUCACUUCUCAAAUACAUGCAACCUCCAGGGCUGGGAUGGGCCAAGCCAAAGCCAGGAACCAGGCACUCCAUCCAGGUUUCCUACUUGGGUUGCAGGUGUUCAAUUACUUAAGCUAUCACCUGCCGCUUUCUAGGGUGUACAUUAGCAGGAAGCUGGAUCAGAGUGGGGCUUGAUCUUAGGCCCUCUAAUAUGUGAAAUGGGCAUCGCAAGUAGCAGUUUAACCCUGGGUUAACCCACUGUGCCAGAAUGCCAACCUCAAGGACAACAUUGUUUUUAGGUGCAGUGUUAUGUCAGGCAUCUCAGCUCUGAUUGGGUUGUAAUGUGUUUCCACAUUGCAGACAAAGAACCUGAGACAGCAAUUUGUUGACUUACUCAAGGUCACACUGCUUACCAACGUCUCGACUGAGGGGUGGAAGAAUGUGCAGGAUCUCAUGGGGCCAAGAGCAGGGUGAAACCUAAGACAAGCCAGAGCCCACUGAAAUUGACUGCAGCUUAAACUGUAUUGCCUACAAACACCAAGAAGGCACUGUGCUGCCAUGGGUUGUAGUUGUUGAGCAGAGUAUGAUGCAGUUGUUAUGAGCAUAAUAGCAGGAUCCCUAGAGUGUGGGGAAAGGUGGCAAGAAGAGGUGGAGACUUGAUCCCACAAAGUCUGCUUCUAUCAGAGAGAUGCAGACUCAGGCUUGCCCUUCUACUGGGUCAGCAGGAUGGGGAGUGCAGUGAAACUCAACAGGACAAGGGGGCUUGGCCAAAUAUUCAGAGCAGGGAGUCAAUACCAGGGCACAAACUUGGGGUGUCUGGUCCUUCUGUCUGCCACAGGCCCACUAGGAAUGAAUCUAGCUCACCUGUUCACAGUGAGGAGUCUCUAAACAGACAGCCAUGCCUGCCCAGAAAUUCAUUUUAAUCUUUUAGAUGUGAAACACAACUUGAACUUUCCAUUCUGACGUGGAAGCAGGCUGGGGCAGAUUACAGGUGCCGGGCCCUGAACUGUUGUGAGGCAGAGCUCAGCAUCCCCUUGCAGGCAAUGACCUUGGCUGGCCACUGCUUGAUGGUUGGGAUCCCUUGUGGCACAGUCUCCCAUGGCAGGGGCUCUCCCUCUCUCAGACCCUCUGCUUUACCAGAGCCAUGGCCUCAGAGCCCCUCUGGGUUCCUCACGUUGAGCCAGGAAACACAGAUUUGCAGCUGGCUGUUUUAUACCCUGUCGAGCUCCCCAACAAGUCUGCUCUACAUCUCUAAUCAAUAGGCUGAGCUGCAGCACCACUUCCCAGCUGUGGUGGACCAUGGGCUGUGAAAGGCUCACUCCAGGACUUGGAGUCUGUCACUCAGGUGUAGCCACAUAGACCUAAAAAUCAGGGAAAGACACCGAGAUACAAUGAGAAACAGGGGCUGUGUGCCUGCCUGAACCCCAAGGCUCUAGUUCUCUGCCUGCUCUGUCCCUCCUAUGUGUGGACACCAGGGAGGACCCCACAGACCCUAGUCCAGGGACAUGCUGGGCCUCCCGGUGGUGCAGGGAGGUCCCUGUGCCAAGCAGAGAAUGUGCUCCAAGACUUCCUUGGAGAACUGGCCCUUCUGUCAUUGGCUUACAUUGUCUUCAGAUGAAAUUCCUCUCUCUAGUCGCAGCUUCUCUCCACGCUCCUCUCCUCUGUGGCAGUGAGUCCCAAAUACUCACUUACCCUGUGUGUGUCCUCCAGGCCCCCCGCUGCCAUUGCUCACAUUGUCCUGGGCUUGGAAGGCCUACACAUUGCUAUUUCUUGAAAUUGCCCUUCCUUCAGAGAGCAGCCUUCACAAUAAAACUUUCUUCUAUGCCUCCCAGGAGACCAGGAACUUAUUGUCUUUCCUGCUCAUAAAUCUCUGCAAUAAGCUUUUAUUAUGCCCCUUCUGAGAGUUGGCUUUUUUUCCCUCUUGGAGUCUCUCUCCUUAGAUCAGGAGCUCCUGGAGGGCAGGGGCAACACUGAUUUAUUCUGCGUCCUGCCCAGGGCACUCAUGGUGGUGUCCCCACACAGAAGGACCCAGUAGGUAUCUCAAGACCGCAAUGAUAACCUACAGUCUGUUCUUCUCAAGCAGCUUCCCAGGCUGCAGCCAGGGCAUGGGGCAAGGUCACACACUCUUGGUGUGAUCUCUCACUGGUUUCAUGCUAGUGAUCUCUCAAAACCUUCUAUUUCCUCACGUGGAAGGUAGGAUUAUAAUUACUUGAUGACAGAUAAUGGCAGAAUCUAGAUGUCCACCUACUUGAUCCCAGUCCCCAUAUACUCCCCACUUGGACAAAAGAGCAUAGGAAGGACCUAUGUACCACAGGGGAAAACCCAGGAUACAGUGUGCACUUCGUUUUUUGUUUUUUUUUGUUGUUGUUUUUUUUUUUUUUUAAGAUUUAUUUAUUUAUUGGAAAGAGUUACAGAGAGGCAGAGGCGAGAGAGGCAAAGAGACAGAGAGGUCUUCCCUCCACUGGUUCACUCACCAAAUGGCCACAAAGGCCAGAGUUGGGCCAAUCCAAAGCCAGGAGCCAGGAGCCUCCUCUGGGUCUCCCUCAUGGGUGCAGGGGCCCAAGGGCUUGGGGUGUCUUCUACUGCUUUCCCAGGCCAUAGCAGAGAGCUGGAUCAGAAGUGGAGCAGCUGGGACUCAAACUGGCACCCAUAUGGGAUGCUGGCACUGCAACACUCGCUAUGCCACAGUGCUGGCCCCAGGAACACAGAAUUUCCAGAGCUUGCUGAUCAACAAGGAAUUCUGCUGGUCCCUCCACUCUGUUUAUAUUGAGCCUCAUUUGUGUGCUUUGCCCUGAUGCUAACUAACCUCAAUACUUUAGCCAUCUAUGUAGUAUUCUGCUGUGUGAUUAUAUCUGGAUUUAUUCAGCUCAUUACUAAUUAAGAUGGCCCAAGCACUGGGACCGUCUUCUACUGCUUUCCCAGGCCGUAGCAGAGAGCUUGAUCAGAAGUGGAGCAGCUGGGACUCGAAACGGCACCCAUAUGGGAUGUCAGCACUGCAGGUGGCAGCUUUACCUGCUAUGCCGGCCCCUGUGGGCUUCUUGCAGAGGUUACACUUCCAGGUGCCCCUGUGGGUCCUACAUAUGGACUGAGCAGGGGAGCUGUCCUCUGUCCAAAAUCAAGUUAGAGGCAGCCUUUAGAGGCUUAUUGCAAAGGGUUUUUUUUCUUCAAAGUCUCUUGACUCUCCCUGGUCUUACCAAGACAAGGUGGGAGAUUGUCACAGGUUCUACCUUGCUUACUAGAUUCAGGGAACAAGACCCCUCUAUUCCCCACAAAAGGAGGCUUUUCUGAGUCUGGUUUUGUUAAUGCACUGUUCAGUUGUUCCACCAGGUUUCCUUUCCUGCUGGACCAGCCUAUUUCACUAAUUCCAUCUUCCUGAGUGUGCCCUUUUAUCUUCCACACACUUCAGAGUUCCUCCAUGCUGGUGAAAUAUUAUGCAUGCAGCUAUUUGGGGGGGAUUCCAUCUUUGUAAACCCAUUAUUUGAAUAACAACAGCAUGGUCUGAAUUAGGCAGAAACAGAAUGGAAACAUUAUAUACUGAUGUUGGUAUCAGACUUUUCCUUCUACCUGGGAGCCAUUUUCCUCUGAGCAUCAGUCAUAAGAUAGAGAUGAUCUUACCUACCCCAGAUGGCUGCUUGAACAUCAGAUGCCAUGGGGUGUGUUCAGAUCCUGCCACAGAGCCAGUGUUUGGCUCAAUGGGUUAAGCUGCCUCCUACAUUAGAGUACCUGGGAUGGAAUCCUGUUUCAGCACCCAAUCCAGCUUCCUGCUAAUGUGCCUGGGAGAUAAUUGAUGAUUCAAGGACUUGAGUCCUUCCCAGCUAUGUGGGAGACCUGGAUGGAUUCCUAGCUCCUUGAUUUGGCCUGUCCCAGGCUCAGCUCUUGUGGACCUUUGGAGAGUGAACCAAUGAAUAGAAAAUCUCAAUUCUCUCUCUCCCUCUCCUUCCCUUUCUCCCUCCCUCUCUCCCCCUCCCUCUCUGCCCCUCCCUCUCCCCCCCCCUUUCACUGUGCCUUUUGAAUAAAUAAUAGUUUAAAAAUCUUAUCACAGUAAUUGGUUUAAAAUAGGUCUUUGGUACAUGUUGGUACAUUUUAAUUCUCUCUUGAAGGUUAACCCAACAUGAUCCUUUCCCCAUUUGACUACCUGAAACAUUUCCUAGGAGGGAAGACUUGGGAUUCAGGCUUGGCCAACACUAAAUUUAUUACCUCAUCACUUUCUGUGAGCAAGAGAAGAACAGUGUCAAGUGCAGUGUGGUUAUUGAGGACAUGGGUUCUGGAGUCGGUUCUCCAUAGCUGUGUUUCUGAAUCUGCACAGAUGUAUAUCCAGGGUCCAGAUGCCAAGCUUCUCCCUCAUCCACUUGCCUGUGGACAUAAUAUUGCAGUGGUCAUAAUAGUAUUCAGUCCACAUAACUCUGCAGAUUAAAGAAGAACAUGUGUGUGAAAUGGAAGUAUAGAUUUGAUACUACACAAUAAGUGCUGCAAACUACUUAUACUUGAGUAAAAAACACUUUCAGUGGAAGUGAAUAAUGAAAUUCAUAGCAACCAGCCAUGGAGUGAAUUUGCUUGUCAUCAAGAUAAUCAAGAAGAAAUAGUGACCAAAAUACUCUGCUCCAUUUGCAGACUUCUGGAAUGCUAGGACUGGCAGUGCCUUUGGAAUUCUAACACAUCAGUAUUUCCCACAUUGUGAUCCACAAUGAUUAAGCAGUUUUCUAGGGAAAAUAAUAUCCUGUGAUCAAAAGAAGUCUGGCAGACAUGACAUUCAAAUCCUUCCCAUGCUUUGGAGUUUUAAGUCCACAUUAGAAUGUUAAAAGCUAUGCAACUCCAUAGUUUGAGAAACUUAUUUACAAUUGUUUAGCCAGUCUUCACCCAACCUUACUUGACAAUGAAACCACAUACUUUACUGAGCACCCUUUGAGUUCUCUAAUGCUGCACAAGAGAUUGCCUCCACAUUUAGUGGUUUCAGAUAACAGUGAAGAUGUGUAUUUCAAAAUCCCAUGUAUUUCCUGUGCUGGAAGGUGGAAGAUGCUGUCCCAGUUGGUGCUGUCUGGGGUGCCACUUGUCUCAUGUGAUUUCUUGUUUCCAGAUGGCUUUCUUACAAAGGUGUGCUCAAGACAGUGUUUCAGUAGGGCCAACAACAGAACCAUUAGGCAGCCAAAGGCCUAACUCCUGAAAGUUGGACAACAGCACUUCUGCUGCAUAAUAUCAGGUAAAACAAGUCACAAGGCCAGGCUGGAAUCCAGGGAUGUGAACACUGCUGUUCCUCUUGGUGGGAGGCCAAAGUGGCAUUGCAGAGGGUCACUGAGAGUGGUACAAGGAAGUGCCAUGGCCAUCUUGGAGUACAAUCUACUACUACACACAGAACACAGUUUAGGAAAUGCUAAUAUAGAAUAAGCCCCACAUUUUCUGGGUUUUGAUACUGAGAUUCAUGGGCAUUGAUUGGUUUUCCCAAGGAUACAUAGCUGGUAGUCCACAGAGCUGAGGUUACACUCUGGUCCCCAGACUCCAGGUUUUCUUACUUUACCAUGUUGUUCCAGAGGAUGACUGAUUGUGAAUGAUUUCAGUGUUGUCCAAACACUUCCUCUCUAAAUUUUCAGGGUCCAAGAACUUGUUGUUGGCCUUCUAAGCCAGUCUGGUUUGACUGUUAAAACAGGAAUAACUCAAUCCACCAGGGACUUGCUUCCUGUCUGUCCCUUCCAUUUAGGAUAGGUUCUGGUCAAACUUGGUGGUUUUGAAUGGCAUGUGCAAGGUGAGCUGUCUCUCUGAAACCUCUCGUGAGAACCACGUAAGCAGGUUCUUUUCUUUUGCCAAUACUUUUGCUGAGUUUUCUGGGUCUCUAUUGAGUCCAGCAUGUUUACAAUCCACAGUUGGAUCUUUACCUAACCCCCCAUGUCUCUAAAACUACAAUCCACCCCAGGUUAGUUACAUCAGUGAAUUUACUUAAUGCUUAUCUAAAAUGGCAACUUAUCCUAAACAUGCCUUUCAUGUUAUUAAAAUGCUUAAAAGCAAAUCCAGAAAUAAUAACCCCUCCAUGAAUUUUCCUUGAACUGAUCAAGACAAGCAUGAAAACCUAACCUGAUUUUUAUGUCUACAAAUUCUGCUCAAGCCCCUUCUACUUAAUUUUUAUGAAGACCCCUUAUUUUGCAUGCUCUGUGAGAUUUUUAUUGACUUUACUCAAAGCAUGUAUGGGGCUUGGACAUUUUCUACCUAAGUUCAGUCUUCUGUUUAUGUAUAAUGUGUUUGAAUUUUAUUUUAUUUUCUUUUAAUGCCAGCACUAUGACUUAGUCUUGGAUUCUGUGCUUUCCAAUGGAGGAAGACGCAUCUGAAUUGCUCUUUGCAGAAGCCCGAAGUCAUAUCUGCUGCCCCAGUGAACGGGGAAUACUUGGUAACAACAGCUUGGUCAAUGUCUCCAUGACAGGGACCCCUAGCCACAUUGCUUAAACAUUUGCAUGAACUUGACUUUAAAUGUCCUAGCUUGCUUUGCUCAGGAAGCCUAAUGAAAAAGACACAUUAAACAAAGGCAUGCUUUGCAGACAGGACACGAGACUGUGGCUUUGUAUUCCUUUUGUAUUAAUGUUUAUUGUGAACAGAACCCAGCCUCUCUCUACAUGGCAUUUUCUGCUCAUGUGUCACAGCAUGACAGGCUCUGAAGGCUGCAUCUCCUUCCCAUUCUUAGCUCAUUAACAAGGUGGGGUGAACAGAAGGAUGAAGGGUUUUGUGGCUGUGAUUUAUGCAUGAGGGGCAGAGGUGGAUGUUAAGUCCCUCACCUGAUAUUUAAAUCUAAGGCUACCAGGGAACUAAACAGGAGAAAGAAAAUAACAGGUGACAUUAUAAACAUAGCCAGUAUCAAAUAAACUUUGAAAGAUCUCUCUGGAAAUGCUGUUAAAAUGCAGCUCAACUCUUUGUUUAUUUGGUUGAUUUUCUCUGAGGCUGAGGGUGCAAGAAGCAGGAAAAUAAAUACAUCAUGUGAUGCCUGUGUUGCAGAACUACAGAGAGGCAGGUUAACUGAUGAAGUUCAAGUGUCAAGGAGAAAAUCCCCUUUGAGCCACUUUGGAUCUCGGAAGGUGCCAAUCUUCCUGGGCCCUGAUAUUAAAGUCCUCUUAGUGUGAAACUAGGUCCAGUUGGCAGAAGAGAGCAGCAAAUGACAUUUUGGAGGCUGGCCUAAUCGGAUGAACAAUUAAAUCACAUUCCCCUGAAAUCUGCCUUUCCAACUAUUGUCUGUGCUCAUGUCAAGAUGGAAAGUCACUUUGUGCAAGCAUGUUGGUUUAGAAAUGAAAUGUCCUCUAACAUAAAUUGAAGCAAUUUCUCUGUUCAUCAGGUCACCUUUCUAGAAUUCUCUGAGAGUCACCUGCAGUCACAGUCUUCCCUUUAAAGCAUCUGCCCUCACAUCCACCCACUCCACUCCCUACCUUUCUUUCUACUUAUCGACUCACCAGAAUUAGUAACUCAUUUUGGUGCUAUUUCUGCUGUAGGGUUACCCAAGUUAAUAUGUAUGUAACUGUGGCUGACUCAUCAUUCACUGGAGUUUGAAACAUCAGAAGCAAUGAGUUAAGGGAAUGGAGAAGGAGACAGCAAGGUCAUUGCAGUCUCCUACCAAACAAGCUUUCUUUUCCCUGGGGACUGGGACCAGUUUCCUGUGAAAAUGUCAGGUAUCAUGGAAGCGAGUUCAUGAAGGAACUAAGAUCAAAAUGCUCCAAUGUGUUCUUUUAGAAAAUGAGAACAUUAUAGGAGAGAUGUGUGCAGUCCUCAGAGAGGAAGGGUUGUUCAGAGGUGUGUGUGUGGUGGUGGUGGGGCAGGUAGGUUGAUGCAGGAGACUGUCACAGCCUAGGUAUUUACUGUAGGGACAAGAGCCACUAAGCCACCUCAUCUCAAGUCAACCCUGGGAGCAUUUGUGGGGAGGUUGGAAAGUUAAAAUGAAGGUUCAUGAAUCACUGAUAAAAUUUUUUUUUUAUAUUUUUUUAUUUAGUAAAUAUAAAUUUUAAAAGUACAGUUAAUGGAUUACAAUGGCUUCCCCCCCAUAAUUUCCCUCCCACUCACAUCCCUCCCAUCUCCCGCUCCCUCUCCCAUUCCAUUCACAACAAGAUUCAUUUUCAAUUAUCUUUACAUACAGAAGAUCAAUUUAGUAUAUAUUAAGUAAAGAUUUCAUCAGUUUGCACCCACACAGAAACACAAAGUGUAAAAUACUGUUUCAGUACUAGUUAGCGCAUUACUUCACAUUGGACAACACAUUAAGGACAGAUCCCACAUGAGAAGUAAGUACACAGUGACUCCUGUUGUUGACUUAACAAUUUGACACUCUUGUUUAUGGCGUCAGUAAUCUCCCUAGGCUCUAAUCAUGAGUUGCCAAGGCUAUGGAAGCCUUUUGAGUUUGCCGACUUUGAUCUUAUUCGGACAGGGUGAUAGUCAAAGUGGAAGUUCUCUCCUCCCUUCAGAGAAAGGUACCUCCUCCUUCUUUGAUGACCCCAUUCUUUCCACUGGGAUCUCACUCACAGAGAUCUUCCAUUUAGGCCUUCUUCUUCUUCUUCUUCUCCCCCCCCCCAGGGUGUCUUGGCUUUCCAUGCCUAAAAUACUCUCAUGGGCUCUUCAGCCAUAUCCAAAUGCCUUAAGGGCUGAUUCUGAAGCCAGAGUGCUAUUUAGGACAUCUGCCAUUCUAUGAGUCUACUGUGUAUCCCGCUUCCCAUGAUGGAUCGUUCUCUCCCUUUUUGAUUCUAUCAGCUAGUAUUAGCAGACACUAGUCUUGUUGGUGUGAUCCCUUUGACUCUUAGGCCUAUCAUUAUGAUCAAUUGUGAACUGAAAUUGAUUACUUGGACUAGUGAGAUGGCAUUGGUACAUGCCACCUUGAUGGGAUUGUAUGGGGAUACCCUGGCAUGAUUCUAACUCCACCAUUUGGGGCAAGUCCGAUUAAGCAUGUCCCAAAUUGUACAUCUCCUCCCUCUCUUAUUCCCACUCUUAUGUUUAGCAAGGAUCACUUUUCAGUUAAAAUUUAAACACCUAAGAAUAAUUGUGUGUUAAUACAGAGUUCAACCAAUAGUACUAGAACAAAACAAAGAGAAAAUACUGAAAAGGAUAAAGUAUUACAUUGUACAUCAACAGUCAGGACAAGAGCUGAUCAAGUCACUGUUUCUCAGUGUCCAUUUCACUUCAACAGGUUUCCCCUUUGGUGCUCAGUUAGUUGUCGCCGAUCAGGGAGAACAUAUGAUAUUUGUCCCUUUGGGACUGGCUUAAUUCACUCAGUGUAAUGUUAUUAGAGAGCAUUGGAGAAACUCUGCAAGAUAUAGGUACUGGCAAAGACUUCCUAGAAAAUACCCCAGAAGCACAGACAGUCAAAGCCAAAAUUAACAUUUGAGAUUGCAUCAAAUUGAGAAGUUUCUGUACUUCAAAAGAAACAGUCAGGAAAGUGAAGAGGCAACCGACAGAAUGGGAAAAAAUAUUCGCAAACUAUGCAACAGAUAAAGGGUUGAUAACCAGAAUCUACAAAGAAAUCAAGAAACUCCACAACAUCAAAACAAACAACCCACUUAAGAGAUGGGCCAAGGACCUCAAUAGACAUUUUUCAAAAGAGGAAAUCCAAAUGGCCAACAGACACAUGAAAAAAUGUUCAAGAUCACUAGCAAUCAGGGAAAUGCAAAUCAAAACCACAAUGAGGUUUCACCUACCCCGGUUAGAAUGGCUCACAUUCAGAAAUCUACCAACAAUAGAUGCUGGAGAGGAUGUGGGGAAAAAGGGACACUAACCCAAUGUUGGUAGGAAUGUACAUUGGUUAAGCCACUACGGAAGUCAGUCUGGAGAUUCCUCAGAAACCUGAAUAUAACCCUACCAUUCAACCCAGCCAUCCCACUCCUUGGAAUUUACUCAAAGGAAAUGAAAUUAGCAAACAAACAAGCUGUCUGCACAUUAAUGUUUAUUGCAGCUCAAUUCACAAUAGCUAAGACCUGGAACCAACCCAAAUGCCCAUCAACAGUAGACUGGAUAAAGAAAUUAUGGGACAUGUACUCUAUAGAAUACUGUACAGCAGUCAAAAACAACGAAACCCAGUCAUUUGCAACAAGAUGGAGGAAUCUGGAAAACAUUAUGCUGAGUGAAUUAAGCCAGUCCCAAAGGGACAAAUGUCAUAUGCUGAGUGAUAUAAGAUUUUUUUAAAGUCAGCUUUGCUAACACUGAAAAGGAACCAUCUAACUUUGUCACUAGAGUGAGCAGUCUCUUAAAGGCCAGUUCCUCUGAUGGACUGCAUGCUGGGAAGAUACCAUAACUUGUAUCUGAAGCUAUAUCAUGCAUAUUUUCUCCUACCCAAGCAAAAGUAGAGUCAGCUCCUCAGUAAGUAAUCAAGUAGUAUAUGUUUUUUUAAAAAAUAUCUUUUUAGAGCUCCUGAUUCUGGAAUGUGGAAUAGGUAUUUCUUUCUUUAUUACUCCCACUAAUGAUUACUGAAAAAAUUGGCUAUUAUUUAGAAAACAAGGAUAAGAAUACUGAAAGGUAUAGAAAUGAAAGCAGACCAACUAGGGACUUUAGCACCCAAGAAAUAACACAGUGGUGAAUUUCCUGGGUUUCCUUUGUUCUUACAUAUUUCAGACUGAGACCUCAAGAAGCCAGCAUUUCAGAAGUCCCAACGAGUGUAGACAAAAUAAGCCAUAACCAAAGCCUGCUUUCUCUUGUCAAAGAAUCAAGAAAAGCACAGCCGAGCAAGACAGAAAUCACUUAAUCAGCAAUCAUUGGAUUGCACAUAAAGACCCCAGUUAGUCCUAUCACACCAGACAAGGCCAAGUGUGGAGCCUACACUUCGAGCUUCUUAAUUCAGAAACGAACAGCAGCACCCUCCUUGGGAUGGUGUCAAGGCCCAAUAGGGAACUUAGAUUUUUCAUCUUCACUUGUCUUUAGAGAGACCUGGCUUGUUGUCAGUGGAGGCCAUAUGGAACUCUUGUGUGUUCACCCCAAAGCUAGCCACUCAUUGCAGUAAUGAGACACCUCUCCUCCUUUGUACUGGGGUAGUGUCCUAGGAAGCAUACCAGAGCCUUCUAGGACACUUUUGUUUUGUUUUGUUUUACUUACAAUGCAGGGAGGCACCAUGGUGAAUCUAGAGGAAGGAAAGAGGGUGUGUGUGUGUGUGUGUGUGUGUGUGGGUGUGUGUGUGGAGAAAAAGAGCAGCAAGUGCAUGAGCAAGACCAAGUCAGAACUAGAGAUGUGUAGAGCAGCACAUACGAAAAGUACUACACUAACAUAUGAGGGCUCUUGGAAAAUGAAUCUAAUGAGAAAACUAUGCAUGGAAAUUAAAAAAAAAAUGUUCUGUAGCAAAACAAAUGAAACAUCUGGGUAUACUUCCAACAAAAUAUGUAAAAUCUCUAUGAGGAUCACCACAAAGCUCCUAAAAAAUAUCUCAAGGAAGAACUAAACAUUUGGAGACAAAUUCUAUGGUUAUGAAUUGGAAGACUUAAUCUAGCCAAGAUAUCUGUAUUUCUUCACUUGAUAGACCAACACAGUCUUAAUCCAAAUCCUAUCAACGUUUCCAGCGCUGUGGCGUAGCGGGUGCUGACAUUCCAUAUAGAUCCUGCCUUGAGUCCCGGCUACUCCUCUUCCAAUCUAUCUCUCUACUACGGCCUGGGAAAGCAGUAGAUGGUGGCCCAAGUGCUUGGGCCCCUACCGUCUGUAUGAGAGAAUCGGAUGAAGGUUGGGGCUCCUGGCUUCAGAUCAGCACAGUUCCAGCUGUUGUGGGCAAUUGGAGAGUGAGUCAGCAGAUGGAAGACCUCUCUCUCUCUUUCUAUCUCUCUCUCUCUUCCUCACCUUCUCUGUGUAACUCUUUAAAAUAAAUAAAUCUUCAAAAAAAAUCCUAUCAAGAUGUUUUACAAUUAGCAAACUGAUUUUAAAAUGUAUGUGGGGAAGAAGAUACCCCGAAGAUCCCACUGCCCAUAAUUGAAGAUGAACACACUGGAGGACUGACGUGUCACAGCUUCACUAACUUAUGAGACAGCCAAUCAUGGCAAUGUGGGACUGGUGAGAGUCAGAAUGGUAACCCCGGAAGAGACCUUCACGAAUACAGUUAUCAGAUCUUUGACAAGAAAGCAAAGUGAUACAAUGGAGAAAGUCUUCUUAAGAAAGAGCACCAGGUUAGUGAAAUCUCCAUUCCAGGAGAGGGCAAAGGACUGUCACCAAAGGCAGGUGGCUUUCAAUGGAGAUGCAUGCCUGCAGGUCACCCUGCACAUGGAUGGCCAGGGGAGGAUGGUUCGAGGCCAUAGGCACCAGGAAAGUCUCUAGGUGUGCGUUCCCAUUAGUAACAAUGUUUAGGGCAUGUGCCUGGACAGGUGGACUGCCUGCACAUCGCUGAGUACACUGCGGUCCACCCAGGAAGCCAGGGCAGAGCAGGGAGCACAGCACAGGCUUGACCUGGACAGAGGCCUUCCCAUCCACUUUGCCUGCCCUGUAGCAACCUUGCCUGCAAGCUCAUCAUCGGGCUCACAUCUUCCCCCAGAUAAGGAGCAGAAGAAGAAGGUGAAGACUCCAAAAUAUGGCCUUAUGGUUCCCAGGAACAAGAGGACCAGCCUUGAGCACUGGAGAACAGGAAGCAGGCUCAGGACUGGCCCAUGGCUGUGGCUCCCCACCCUGGAGAGAUGAGUCAUCAGCACAGUAGCCACUUGUCACCCUCUAUCUCGUCAGAUUCUGGCCUCAGUGUGAUUCUGCAAAAAGCACCCUGUGGGGACCAGCGAUUCUGAGCCCUUGGGGUCCUGCCACUGACACAGCCAUGGCUCAUUCAAGAAUGGAGUACAGAGUGGUCAACUCCAAACCAGACUCAACAGCUAGAGAAUCCUAGGCCUUCCAGACCCAGGGGAAAAUGGCUAUGGCCUAACCUGCCCCAUUGGGAUGACCCAGGUGGCUUCUGAUGAACAGGGCCUAGUCGCCUUUUGGAGGUCGUGUGGGUUGAGGAAGAGGCUACAAGUGUCUGGGACACUUGGAGAACUGGGAUGCUCUCUCUGCCCAAGGCAGGGUUGCAGACUCCUUCCCUGUGGAGCCUCCAGACCAGGAGCCUCUGAGCCAGGAGUCUCUUCUCCCAACAUCAGGGGACAUAUUCUCCAUGCUAAUGACCCCUAGUGACAGCAUGACCUGGAGAAGCUGAACCCACUGUGACAGCAGCCCAGGAGGCCUGAGCUGCCAGAGGGCAUGUGGGCAUCUGGCCAGCCAGGUGUGCCACCAGGACUAGCUGGACAUUCUGGGGCUGCCUCCACCCACUGGCAUCCUGGUCUGUGGUCAGAAGUGCCCUGGGGUCCUCUUGCAGGCUCAGGCCAUGAGAUGCUGGAUUGUGAGAUGGGGCAGGGAGGAUGGAAGGCAGAGAAGGAAGAAGAGUGGGAACCUGGUGCCCACACACCCAGGACAGUGCACAGAGGUGAUCAUGGGCCUGGUCCCUUGGCUGGACCCACACUCCUGAACUGUCCCAAAGGCCACAUAUACCCAGCCAUUCCUGCUCCUCUGGUCCUUCCCUGGUCCACGCUGGGCACAGGUCAAUCUCAGGAACAGAUGGAACACCCUGAGCAGGGUCUCUCAUUGCAUCUGGAGGCUGUGGCACCUCCAGCCCCUUGCAAGGGACUCAGGGACCCUGUGUGGCAGCUCGGCUCCAGGGGUCACAAAAUCAAAUACAUUCUGAAAUAAACAAUUUAAUAUACAAUCAACAAGGGGCAGAAAUUCCCGGGUUCCCUCACGAAGGAGGGAGGGGUAUGUGGCAGCCCACAGGUGCCUGGGUCUGUGUCCUACCGCAUCUGCUCUGAGGGUGCCCAUAGCAACUGUGGCAGUGGACUGGCUCCUUGGCUGAGAUGAACUAGGGUGAGGCCGCUCAGGGAGGGGGAGAGGAGCUCCAGAGAGGAGCCUUGUCAAUCAGGGAGGUCAAUGGGCAUAGAGAAGCUAGGCUUCUGGCUGAGUUCAGCUAGGGUGAGGCCUCAGGUAGGGGGAGAGGAGCUCCAGAGAGGAGCCUUGUCCAUCGGGGAGGCCGCUGUGCUUAGACAAUUUAGGCUUCUGGCCCAUCUGAGCUGGACACCUGGUGGGCUGUUCUUCCCCUCCAGGUGCCCACACACAUCCAGCUCCUCCAUGGAGUGGGCAGCAAGGAGGCCUUGAGCCAGGGAGGGCACACAGGCCUGGUCUCCCAGCGCAGGGCUGGCUCCUGCAGGCUCCCACCCAUGACUAUCCCCAGAGUGCAUGGGCUCCCAUGAAGGGAGGGCAUCUUCAGCCCUGCUUCCAGGGCUGGUACAGCCUGCAUGGGCCCGGGAUCCAGGGGCUCUGAGGCAGGUGAAGGAGGGGCCCUGAGACCCUGCUGGCCACCCAGCUCCAGGGGCCAGGAAUCAGCACCUUUGACAGGCGGGCUGAGAUUUGGGAGGCCCCCCCAUUGGGACAGGUCUCCCCUGCUCUGCAAGCUCUGUGGGGCCAAGAGGCCCAGGCCAUGCAGACACUCUGAGGACUUCACAGACAGGGCUGGGGACGAGGGCUCCGGGGAGGCGCCCUCUUCACAGCCUCCCUCCUUGUCCUCUUCAAAAAUCGUUUCAGGCAAGAUGAAUCCCAGGUCCCGCAGCAGCUUUGGCCAGGGCGACACAGGGCACUCGGCAGCCCGGUCUUCCUCCUCUUCCUCCUCCUCUUCCUCCUCCUCUUCCUCCUCUUCCUGCUCCUCCAGGCCGUUGUAGUACUCCUCGUUGUCAGAGUCGGAGUCGUCAUCUUGGAAGGUCAUGUUGAGUUUGGUCAGGGAAGUCCAGCGCCGGAGGGGGCCUGCUCAUCCAGCCAGGAGCACUGUGGGCCCGAGAGGUGGGUGGUGCCCCCUGACCCUGAGGCCCCCGUGGAGGAGCCCUGGCCGUGGGGCUGGGUGGUGCUCUCGCCACGACUGCCCUCCUUCUUGGCAUGUUGCUUGGUUUCGGGCUGGACGGGAGAUGCGAGAGGACCGGUCUCCCCGGGGACAGAAACUGAAGCCCCCACUGGCUCCUGGGGAGCUGCAGCAGCAGGGUGGCAGCCUUUGCUCUCCUCAACGAUGGUCUUGAGGGACACUGGUGGGGGAGUGCGCUCCUGAGAGCCAGGCGGCACCUGCAGGGCCGGGCUGCCAUCUUCGGUUGGUUUUGCUGGAAGAACAGAUGGGUUUUGCUUCUGUACAGCCACCAUCUGGCCUGCAGGGUGCCUGCCCUGCCCUGACCCUUGGGGUCCCCAUCGCUCGGUGUGAUGCUCAGGAUACCUCCAGCCUGCUGGCCACAGAAGGAAUGGUGCAUGCAGCCUGGGCCAUGGGAAUGACAGGGACACCUCUGGUUCUUCCCCCAAAGCGCACAGACUGGACAGGCCUUGAGCCCCCCUCCUCACUCUCUCAUCUCUGCGGACUGCAGGCACCAAUGCAGGACCCCAUCACCUACCCCACCUGAAAUCCUGGGCCCUAACAGUGCAUUGGCUGAGUUACCCGCAUCUGAGUCCCUCCUGAAUUGUAGGAAGGGAACUGAGCCUAAGAUGAUGGGGGUGAGAGCUGGGGUUGUGGGGCAGACAUGGAGUCUGGUUCAGGCCCUCGGGGACAGGGAAUGCAGUUUCUAAAGAGGUGGCAGUGGUGCCCUGUGUCCUCUGCCCCUGGGCCACUGUCCCUUUCCCGGUGAGAUUGGGCUGUCAACGCUUCUGUCCCACUAGCACCCAGGGGAAGCAGCACCUGGAAGCACAGUGGGGCCUCCCCAGUGCCUGAACAACCUGCCCCUGGGCCCCCACUGCCAGCCCCUAGAGCUGGGACAAACCCAUCUCUGCUCUGCAUGGGGACCCAUGAUCUCAGGUCCUUGGUGGCAGUAGCAGCAGGGGACGAGCACGGAGACCCCUCCCCACCAGAGCCCAGAGGCCAGCGCUGCUCCGGGUUCUGCUGACUUCUGUUGGCCUGAGGCUAGGACUGCAGAGCAUACACUCAGCUGCACUUGGGUUCUGCCAUGGGGGCCUGCAGCGCCUGCCUCUACGCCCACCCUGCUCACAGGAGUGGACUCGGCCCCCACAACUGGGCUAAGGACACCUGGGCCUUCCAGGGGUCCUCAGAUGGCUGAAGAGGAUCCAGUGCCUGCUGGAACACCCUGCAGGAGGAUCCAGGGAAGCUGCCCGAGGCCCCGCCAGGCCAUGCUGUCAGAAGCUCCUGAAAGCAGAACUGCUGAGCCCGGGGAGGACAAGGAGGACUAGGAAGAGGUUCUGCUCACCCAGGCCAAGCAUGAGAACCCCCCAAGUCCUCCAUCCCCAGCACCAUGGCCUCUGAUGGCCCUGAGGACUUACUUCGAUGGACCUUGAGGAUGGUGUAUGCCAUGAUGGUGAGUAUGUGUGCGCCCUCAAGGAUGUAGAUGUCCCACAUCCGAAGUGCCAGGGGGAACGGCACCUGGGGGACAGAGGCAUUGGAGGACCCCGCACAUCAGGGCCUCAGCAGGGCCCAAAGUGGGUGGGUGUGUGGUGUCACAGGGCAUCCUAGCUGUGUCCUAGAAGCCCAGAGAGAAAGAGCACCAAGGCCUAUCCAGGACCCUGGUGCCACCCAGACUGCUCUGCACACUUUGGUAGCCACACUGGGAUCCCAGACUCCCAUGAACCUGGUAGAUGGUUCAGCCCUUGGGCUGUGCAGAAACUAGCCUGUGCCACCCAAGGUCUAUGGAUCUCUUGCCUCUCACUGUAGGGCUCUGGCCUUUGCCAGGCUCUCAGGAUGGGUCCUGGUGGGACCUGUCCCCUCCUUGCUGUCCCUGAGGCUCAGCCUCAACUUGGACCACCCUCAGCAGGACAGGGCCUGCCUGGUCUGCACAGCAGGCUCCCUCCUGUAUCUGUUGGGGCUGGGGGAGCUCAGAGUCAGAGGCCACCAGGUCAAGAGAGCCAGGUACUGGGGAAGGAGCUUCCCUGGUCAAGGGGUCCCUGGGGCACUUACCCCAUCCAGGAAGCACUGGAUGUACCAGUGGGUGGUGUAGUCCUCGAGGCACACCCCCUCCUUCUCCUGAGAAGAGGCAAAGGCAGAGGAGGCUCAGGGCCCAGGGCCCAGGCCUAACUCGCUCUAAUCUGCGCCCUGUGGCAGAGCCCUUGGGUACAGGAAGCCCAGCAGCAGGUGCAUCCCCUCUCAUAGCCAUGCAGGUUCUUGAGGAAACACAGGUCCCUCAGUCCACUCUGCCCUGGGGACAGCGUCUCCCUUCAAUCUACACAAACUCUGGGGGACCAAGUGCUGGAAAUCAAACCAGCACCCAAGCUUCCGUGGACCCCAGUAACCAAGGAAAGCCUUGGUGAGGACAUAGCCUCCCCUGGCCCAGGAAGCAGUCAGGACCCCUCUCUGUCCUCCCCUCCCUGAGCACAGAGCCCCCGAGGGGAGAAAGGAGAUGUUUACUUACCAGGUGUUUCUCCAGGGAGAGGAGCACGCGAUGCAUGAUAUCUCCGAGGUGUUGCUGGAAUCGCUCCAGUUUUGGGGAGUCUGGUGUGUAGAAAUCUGUGUAAUAGCAACCCACCAGCCCUCAUUCAGAGUGUCUUCUCAGGAAGGUUGGAAAGCCAAAGGCUUGGGGUGGGGUCUUUCUGAACACAGAGGGUCAGGGGAGGCUCUAACAGGCAGGGGAGUAUCAGGGGAAGGGGGGUACAGCUGACAGCCCAGGGCAGGCUAAGGUGACCUCUGGGCAGACUGCAGUGAAACUGGGUGCCUCAGGGCCAUCUGGACACUCAGGGUGAGGAGGGGUCACCCUAGAAUGGAUGCUUCUUCUGCAAGGGUGUGGCUCAGUGGGUGGGAGUCUGAGUAGAGAUGUGAAGCAGUAAGGCCAGUAGAGACCUAAAGGUCAUUUGUCAAAGACAAGGCACAGGACCUUUGUGUGAUGGGAAGUGAGGGGUAUGGCUUGGUAUUGGGCCCUCUGCCGGCCAUGGCUUCUAAGGAAGUAUUCUGAGGGAGACCGCCCUAUGCACGCAGCAGCCAGUGAGGGACAAUGUCCCAGUCACUUGUCUGCAUGCCCAUCCCUGCACUUGCACGGACCACACCCACCACACCCAUCACCCACCAUGCAUCGCGUGCUGGCUGUCCUCCAUGAGCUGGACUAGUGCCCAACAAGCAUCCUCUUCACUCAGCCACAUCAGCAGCAGGGCUGCCACGUGGCUUAGGCCCUGGCUGUAGCCCAAUUCCUGGAAGAACACAAAACACAUCAGAGGGACCUCCCUGGCUGGGAUGAUCUCAAGUGGUAAGGGUGACCUCUCCUGGGAGGGCUGAGCGUUACUACCAGGCCCCACUGCUGCCCCUUGAGUAUGAGGAUCUCAGGGACUGGAGCACACGCCAGCUCUCAAAGUUCCUGGAGAGAAUCCUGCAGGGUCUGAGCGCAGGCUGUGCAGGGUUAAGAAGAGGUAUGAGCCCCACCCCAGAUGUCAGAAAGGGGAAGAAUGUUGUGGGGGAGUGCAGACUGCACACCCGUGAUGGCCUCUGGAGCUCUCUGCUGCACAGGUGCCCUGCUGGGCCCCACUGCAGAUGUGAGGAAGAAGCACCAUAGUAAGGCCUGCCUGGGCCAGAACAGAGCCCAGCCCAGGAGAAGGCUUCCGUUCUGCCCCCAGAACUUGAGGUUGGGGCCAAGGAGGCCAUGAGCUUGAACUCUACCCCUCAGUCUCUGCCUUGUGGAUUAGAGAGGCCCCCUCAACCCAGCUAGGAUCUCUGUGACCAAGGGUGCCCUUCAUGGACAGCUCUGGAUAUGACCUUGGAAUGUUAUCGCAGAAUACUCACGGGGUUGUACAUCGAGUAUGCGAGGAGCACCUCAAAUAAGGAGCGUUGUCUGGAAGAGAGAGGACAGAGGCUGUGCGUCCUGUGCUGCCGAGGCUCUCAGUGUGGCUCUGCCUAACAGAGCCUGACAGCCACACGCAGGGCCCGUGAUACUCUGCUCAUGAGCAGUGACGUUGUCAGGGCACCUGCGUGUGGUCCACCGUGUGGGUGAGCGCUGCCUGCAGGGACACACACACUUCACAGGGUGCAGUCACAUGCAGUUUCGUUUCCCCAGGUGGGUGUUCAUUGCAGAGGUGAGCGUCCCACUGUGGGAGGUGCAGUCCCGUGGGUCUAAGCCGUGGAGAGUCAGCCUCCCAUGCACGUUCAGCCUGGUAGCGAGCAGCUCCUGUCACCUAUGUGUUCCCCAUGAGCCUCAGUGGCCAAACUCCCCACCUCCCCCAGCCCGUGGCCACCACUGCCCUGUUGUGUGUCCCGGAUUUGGCCUCUUGCAGACAUCCUGUGAGUGGAUCACAGCACGUGUAAUCUUAGAGGGACGUUUCCUCUCUUAGCAGGAUGCACCUGAGAUGCAUCCAGGUGAGCCCAGGGCUGAGCCUCGUCCUGCCUCUCACUGAAUCCCAUUCUAGGAUUCAGCUGUGACACGGGUUGCUUAUCUGUGUCCCCACUGAGCAUCAUGCAGGCUAGUCCUGUGUCCAGUGACUGUGAACACAACCCUAAAUCUUGCGUGAGGGUUUUCUGUGUGCUCAGCUGUUCUGGUGGUUGUGUACAUGUGCCUGUGUGCUGGGGGUUCGUGUGGAAGGUGUGUGUUUCUCAUUGUAAGAAAUGGCCCUGGGUGCCUCCGAGGGCCUGGGCCACUGUGCUCUGUUCCUGCAAUGAACCAGAGUGGCACUCACCUCACAUUGUCCCCAGCACCCGGCAUCCUCAGUGGUCUUAGUUCCCCCAUUCUCACAGCUGUGCGCUGGUGCCCCGUUGUGGUUUAGGUGCUAAGCUUGUGUUCAUUGUUGAGUAGGAGAAUUGUGUGUGCCGUCAUGCAGGGGCCCUCCUGAGCCUUGGCCCAUGUCAGGGCAGGGAACCCUCAUUUGCUUUCUUAUUAUUGAGAUUUACAAACUUCAUUUUCUGUAUUUUGUAAAUACUGUCUCCCCUUGUGUUCCAUUUGAUUUCAUUCCCACCAAAGUGUCUUUAGGAAAGCAAACUGUUCAGUAUAAAUAGAAGGCCAUGGAUCCAUUUUUUUCUGUUCUAGAGCAAUUAUGCUUUAGGUUUGUGUCCACGUCUCUCCCAGGCCCCCAUGUGUCCCAUGAACCUUGCACCUCCCUCCCCCGGGGCCCCUGCAAGCCCAGAGGCCUCACUUGGCUCUGUAUCUCUCUCAGACCAUCACGUGACUUCUGAAUGUGCAUGCCACCUCUUCAUUGAUCUGUUGGACUUGAUCUGAGCACAACCUGGCCCGUUCCUUCAUCUCCUGCAGGGCAUGGCUGAGGGGGAGGGGCCGGCCUCAGGACGAGCCAACCCCCACUGCCACACAAGCACCCCAAAGCCACAUCAGCCCUUCUGGUUGGCAGGGAGAGUUCCCCCUGGGAGCAGCUCAUUCCCCUGAUCCAGGGAGGGUCAUGGGUUCCCCACUCGCCUUAGUGUCCACGCCACCCCUGUGCCCAGCAGAGGGGCCACUGAGGACCUGCUACAGUCAGCCUGAGGCCAGGGACUCUGCCAAUGUCCUUCUGUGCUACCUCUGCCUUCCCAGAGCAGAAGAGACUGAAUCAGGCCUCCGAGCCUCCUCACUGGGCUCUCAGGCCCCACAGGACAGGAGUCAGCCUCACCCUGACCAGCCUUCAGGGCUGCCCCCUGCAGGAGAGCCCCAGCUCCAUCAAGAGAGUGGACACCCUUCUUGGAUUUGGAGCUGGCCCCAGGGGCAGCCCCCACUUGAAGACUUGGGCGAGGGCGGGGCUGGCGGCUCAGUUGCUCCUUGCUCCCUGAUGUCAGCCAGGGAGGUGACAGCCUGGGGCCAGCCCUCUGAUGGAUUAGCCCUCAUUCCCAGAAGCAGUUGAGAGCUGACUCUGACCGAUGGAACCAGCAGGCCUGGUGGGGGCUGGGUGAGCUGAGGCCAGGCCAGGCAUGAGAAGGCCCAGGUGAGGGCAGGGCCUGGCGAGCAUAACAAACGCACAAGCAGUGUCAGGUGUGGGGAGGGCUGUUUGGGACAGAGCCAGCUGAGGGCCCUAGCACACAGGACUUCCACCUCAUUCCAGGCAUUCUCUAUCCAUUCAGGACCCAGCACAAUGGCACUGGGCAGUCCUGGGCCUAGAGGCAAGGCAGGACCACAGGGAUAAGGGCUGUGGCCCUGACCGGAUCCUUGUGUCCAGGCCCAUUUGUGUGUGGGGAGACAUGGAGGAGGCCUCUGGGGAGAUGUGGAUGAGGCAGAGGGGAGGGCCGGGUGGGGGCCCCAACCGAAUGACCACUCUUCCUUGGCAUUACUUGUUAACCACGUGGGAGCCUCGGGCUCCUGACCAGGCCCGAGCAGGUCGGGCUGCGUCAGUUGCACGCAGAGCCAUACCUCGAAUUUGCCAGGGUUCUGGGCCUUCCUGGUAUCCACGGAGAGCAUCAUGGCCCACACCUUGCCGCGCACCUGGGCGGGGAUGCCUUUCUCAAUUCUCCGAUGGAACUACAGGAGAGAGGAGGCUCUGGUGAGACCCGCCCCAGGCCCUCUGUCGGAGGGGAGCGCAGGGUGAGACAGCAGGAAGGGGAGCCCUGGGCUCUGUGCUGUGUCCCCAGAUCUGCCUGGACCUGGGCCUCCUGACCCAACAGUGAGAGGAGGGCCAAGGCCUCAGUGCAGGCUCUGUCGUGCACUAACUGCCCCUACAGGGCACCAGGAACUGUGCCUGCCCUGCAUCUGGGAGUGGCCCCAGGGGAGACUUUGGAUCUUCUACUGUGACAGUGUCCUGGGUGCAUGGGCGUGGUGCUGAGAUGACCUGUGUCCUUUCAGGGCAGGACAGUUGUGUCUGAGAGGCACAGUGAUGGGUACCGUGCAUCCCAACUCCACCCCCAGUGGUCCCCAGGGGCCCUCAGGUCCAGGCACCUUCUUGCUGCUGCAGUACUUGGUGAAAUUUCGCAGCAUCUUGUUCCAUUUUUGCAGUCGGCGGCCCUCCUGAUGUUUACGCUGGGAAUGGAGACAGGAUGGUGUGAGCCCAGCAGUGUCCUCUGAGAGAGGACACAGGUGCAGCUCAGGAGCCUGUGGACAACUCAGCUGGGAGGAGCCAGCAAAGGGGCAGACCACAGCACCCAGACCUUCCAACUAGGGGAGCCUCAGGGGCUUGGGCUCUGCCCACAGGACAAGCAUCACAGUGGCCCACAGGCAGGGACCCAGAGCUGCAGGCCUGCAUUGGGACAUGUGGGCCUCAACAGAUCUCCUGGGAACUGCUGUCCCUGGAGGACCAUAUGGCACUCCACUGACCACUGCCCAUACCCACAGGCCUGCUAGUUCUGCCUCCUAGAUGAAGAGUCCAUGGCCAAGGUCAGCUUACCCAUUGCACUGCCAGGCAUCCAUGCCUGGGCGGCUUCUGCUUACUGAAAGGCAAGAGAGACAACACCAUGAGAAUGGGCACUGAACCAUGCAUGGUCCACUUCCCCAGCAAGGCUGGGACAGGACCCGUGUCCUCCUCACCCUGCUGAGGUCCAGCCUAGGGCACAGAGAAGGGCAUGGUGGGGGCAGCCAUGCUACAGGCAGACACCCAGCAGGGGCUGUGACCGUGAGCACAGGGAGCCCAGGGCCAGGGAGGAGCCCUUGCUGCCAGUGCUGUGAGUGUGCAGCUGGGGCUUAAGGCACCUGGGACCACCACACCCCCAGGGUCCCCCCAUCCACCCUCCCCCACAUUACUGGCUGCCUGAGGUGCCUGCUUCCCACCUCACCCUCCUCUGUCAACCCGGACUGUGGCCAUCUCUCCACCACUCAGCUCCUGCUUUUUCUCCAGGUUCGGGCACAACAUGGAGGCAGAAACCCCUAUCCCCGAGCUAAAGUGGGCUUCUGAGUUGCGUCAGAGAUGGCCCGAGACGGCUCCAGCCCUCUAGGUCACCAGAACCCACCCUCCAGCCACGGGGCCUCUCUCUCUGAUAUCUGUGGGAACAGUCUCCAAGUCUCCCUCCUGCCCCAGGCCCACUCCUCCCAGCAUAGACCCGGGGGCUGGGCCCUCAGCUGCAAACCCCUCUGCCCUGGUCUGUACUGGGGAAGCCUGCAGGCAGGUUCAGAGCCUUGAGGUCACACCCUUGGCCGUCCCUCAGGCCAGGCCUUAAAAAGCCUUUAGCUUGGCCCCUGAGACCCAGGUACCUCCUGGACAACCGCCAGAUGCUAGGCUGGUGCCCCAUCUCUGUGGACACAGCUCUGGAAUGCUGAUGACCUGGUUGUGUCCCCUAGGAGCAGGGCAGGACCCUCAAGCCACCCCCUCUACUUAGCAUGAACAGAGGCCUCAGAGGCAGAGUGCCCUGUGCUUGCCCCAUGUCCAGCUCUGUCUCUGCCUGCAGUUUGGAUUCACUCACUGGGUAAUCAGCUCUGGCCACACACUGACCAGUGCCUGCACUGUGACAACAGCUUGGAUCAAGGAGGGGGCCUGGGGGCAGGUGUGCUACCUAAUGGUGGGGUUUCUGACCCUGGUGCCUCCCCUGGGUGGAUCGGGGUGCAGAGGACUCACCACAGGAAUCCAAGUUUGUCUGGGAUGUGGACUCCAUUCUCGUCGUCCUCUUCUCCCAGCUGAAACUGGGACCCUGCAGGGGAGAGGGGACCCAGGUGAGAAGUCCGGGUCUCAGUCACUGGGGGAAGCUGAGCCACCCUCCCGCUGUGUCCCCAGGGAGGUGGGGUCUGGCUCUCACAAGCACAGUACUUGAGGCAGGGUCCUACCUCCUCUCCCAGCACCCUGGCCUAUACCUUCUCAUACUGCAUGAUAAUCGCUACUCGCUCCUGGGCCCUGCCGGACCUCAGGGCAUCCAUAUCCAAUCUGUAAGACACACACACACAUGUGAGCCAGCACAGGGGAGCCCACGGGAACUGCUGCCCUGAGGGCUGUCCCCGUGGUCAGAGGGGGGACAGCCACACAGCCAGGUGGGCGGGCACCUGGUGGUCGGGUCCCAGGAGGAUGACUUGUGCAGAGCACAGGGACUAGGGACGGUUGGGGAAGGACAGCCCCCACCUUGCCUCCCCUGCCUUCAGAAAGGAUGCUCCUCCCCCAGCCUGGCAUCCAUGUGUCCUCCAGGGAGCCCAAGUCUAAAGGUCUCCCUGGCCUGCUCCCAGCCCCCGCAUCUCUAGGGCUCUCAGAGCCCGCCUCCCUGCCCCACCUGAUACCAGCUGAUCUGACACCUAGUCUUGAACUCGUGUCCAGACACAGACUCACACCAAGGCCCAUUCGACACUGAUGCCCAGCAGAGCGGGAGGAAUGAGACGACUGUAUACAUGCUCUGCACACAGGGGCCCACUGAGAGCUCAGCCACAUCACUCAUGGAACCUGGCGUGGGAGACCAGUGCCACCCACCUGGCGUGACCUUCCCCAUGUCACAGCUCAUGCAGAGAGCAAGUCCCACUCACCUCCGUCGUGAAUCCAUUGGAUUCUAUCAAAUGUGCCUCCUGCCUAUCUACCAACAUCUGGUCAGUCGGGCAGUAGGCCACCCCACCCCCAGCCUCAGACCCAAAGAUGGUCAGGUCCAGACCCAGGUCACGUGAUGCCCAGACUUCCACAGGCACAUGGAAGCCCCGAGAGGCCUGCAGCCCCUGCAGCCACCGGGAGAUGUGCUCUGUUGCCUCCACCCCUCCCCACCCCGGUGCAGAGGCAGUGCGAGGAUUCCUAGGAGGGAAGUCCCGUGUGGCCCAAUGAUGAACUCUGUGGCCCUCAGCAGAGUGGUCGAUGGGGAGAAAUGGACGCUGAAGGUGGGUGAGCAGAGGAUCUGGCACUGCCCUAGAAGAGAGAAUCAGAGGCGCACCUGCAACAGGGUGGGUUCUGGGCGUACGUUAUAGGUCAGAUGGAACUAAUGGCUCAGUGGCUGCUUCAAAGCAUCCAGAAGGGAAGUGAGCUGGGUGGCACUUGGGACUGUGUCUGGGGCCUCGGGCAUCACUCACUGGGAGUGGUUGCAAUAGGGAAGGGGGUGCAGGGUGCCAGAAUGGCCCUAUUGGUUAUGCAAACUGGGGACUCAAAUUACCCUGAGCACUAGUUCCUGGGGACACACAGUCUCCAGCCAAGACAGGGGGGCUGCAGCCCAUGGCCUGAACCCCAGCGGGCUCUCAAAGCCCCUUCCCAGGCAUCUGGCCUUCAUAGGAAAACAGGCCAGAGGCCAGAAGAGCAGGGAGCCCCCUGGAGGCCAGAGGAGCUGAGACUCCCUGAGGGUGGCCUCAGCUGUUCCUGCCCUACCCCAGUUCUGCAGACCCCAGCUGUCAGGACUACCGUGAAUUGCAAUGGUCUCACCACACAACCCUGGACCUCCCUUCAGAACCAGCCCUGUCAGGAAUCAGAAGAGCCCUUCUGAAGCCGAUGCCAGCUGUCCCUCAGCACCAACCCCCCCCCACCUCUGCUUUGGAGCAGAACCGGGUAUGGCAGCGUCCUGCUCCUGCAAUGCUUCUACCCUCAAAAGUGUAGUCACUUUACUCACCCAGCAGCUUCUCAGCAGGGACAGGCAACGCUCUCCUGGGCAGGCACUUCACCGAGGCUGAAGGGGGGCUGGCAAAGGCUAAACUGGCAGCAGGCAGCAUUUCCAGCAUGCAGUCUCUCCCAUGAAGGCAGAGAAGGAACUCCUUCCCUCAGCGGCCCAACUUCCGGGAGCCAGGGGCAACUCCAGCAGAAACCACGACCUCGUGUGGAGGACAUGCUGGAGAAGCCCCCAGGGCCCUGGUGCACUGGAUUCUUCCUGCGAGAACCUCAUUCCUCUCUGUUCAUGUCUCCCAAUCCACCUCCUUCCCCCAAAUCCCCUCCACCAGGAGUGCACAUUGUCCCCAGCACACAGGGACUGCAGGGGACAGCGUCCAUGGAGCUGCUGGGAACUGCACGUCCACACCUGUAUCCAGGCAUCUGUAGGGGGAGCUGCCGUGUUCUUGCCUGAUCCCUCCUACCUAGACCACUCUGGGCCAUUGAGACUCUUCCCUGGAACUGGGGUCUUAGAAGCCCAUUCAUUUUUAGUGGCUGAGAUCGCAGGCAGAAAGCUCAGGCACUGUCCAUGUCCAUCGUGGAGAACAGAGCCAAAGAAAGGAACGCAGGGAGCUGGUGCCCAGGGAAGAACAGGAACCAGAGGUGGGCGCCCAGCCUCUCCCGAGGGUUCCUGAGGCCACUACAGCCAAGCCUCCCCAGGGAUCCUUCCAAUACAGCCCUGUUUUGCAUAAGCAGGCUCCAGCCAGGUUCUUCCCUCAAAACCCAGAGGAUGUGGGUGCAUAGGGCAGGGGGGCAGGGGUGAAACAAAGCUGAGGUCAAGAGUGUGAAGCUCUCAAAUGCCACCCAGAGCUCAGCCACUCCCCCCACCAAGGCGUCAGUGGGUGUUGCUGAGCCAACCACCCAUACAUGUGGCAUUGCAGGAGCUGAACAGAAGCAGGUGUGGCCAGGGACAUGGGCGACAAGGUCAGCAGGGCUGGCUGGGACAGCUGCCUGGGGUACAGGGAAGAGGGAACAGAGUCAGGCAGGGGGUGGAGAAUUAACAAGGAAAGAGAUUAGAGCGUUUUAAGGAAAACCUCAUUUUCAACCAUGCUCCCUGAGAAAAGGGGGCUGGUGGAUCAACGGAGGUGACGUCGGCAGUGCAGACUGAGGAUGGUGAUUCGGGAGCUCUGACCAGACAGCACUGUCUCUGCAGGAAAACCUAGACGGAACUGGAAAGAUCAGUGCUGACUCUGCAUUUGUCUCCACCAUGAGAUGCCGUGUCCAAUAUUGCCAUGAUAAUUCAGCUGAUGGAAAUAAAAUGAUUCCAUCUCUUGACAACAGGUUUAUGACUCCUCUAUUUUUAAAAACAAGCUAAAUAUUUUAUUUCUUUCAAAGAAAAAUGUGAUUUUUUUUCCUUACCAGCCACAAUAACUUAAAUGAGUGACACCCUUCAGUGCAUAUAUGUAUCGUGUUUUUCUCUUUUUGAAUAGCUGAUACAUAUAUAUGACUGUCUUAGAAAACAGAGCACAGAGGGGUGGGUGGUAAAAAGUGACUCUUCCCCUCCCCCACUCUGCAUUUAAAGCACUGAUACUGGGGUUGGCGUCCAGCACCAUGGCUAGGAUGCCACUUGGGAUACCCGCAUCCCAGAUCAGAACAUCUGGGUCCGAGUCCCAGCUCCAUUCUCAAUUCUAGCUUCUUGGAAGGCAGCCGGCAAUUGCUCCACUAGUUGGGAGACCUGGAUUGAGUUAUGGGAUCCUGGUUUUCAGCCUGACCCAUCCCUGGCUGCUGUGGGCAUUUGAGGAGUAAACUAAUAGAUAGGACCUCUCUCUCUCUCUCUCUCUCUGCCUCUCUGCCUCUCUGCAUUUCAAUAAAAUUUAAAAUAAAAAUUCGGGAGCUACAUGGCAUAGCAGAUUAAGCCACCACCUGUGAGCUAGCAGAUAGAUCUCUUUCUAUCCUUUUCUCUCUAACUCUGCCUUUCAAAUAAAUAUAUCUUUAAAAAAUAAGUAAAAAAAAAAUUGAAGCCACAUUCCCCAGUCUCUUGCUGCUCCCUCCAGAGGUGGCCGUAGAUGCACAGUGACCUGGUUAUGUAGCCCUCCUUCUGUAUAGACUGUGCCACUCCUUGCUCUUCCCCUGAAUACAGCAUGAGAGUGUUUUCUCUCUGUGUGGGUAGACUGCCUCUCAUUUUGAAAUGAUUCCAUGGGGGCUGGCACUGUGGCACAGUAGGCUAAGCUUCUGCCUGAGGAGCUGGCGCCUCAUAUGGUGCGAGUCCUGGCUACUCCACUUCUGAUCCAGCUCUCUGCUAUGGCCUGGGAAAGCAGUAGAAGAUGGCCCAAGUCCUUGGGCCCCUGCACCCACAGAGGAGACUGGGAAGAAGCUCCUGGCUCCUGGCAUUGGAUCAGCGCAGCUCCAGCUGUUUCGACCAUGCAGUGAAUGAACAGAUGGGAGACCUCUCUCUCUUUGUCUCUCCCUCUCUAUAACUCUGCCUCUCAAAUAAGUAAGUAAAUCUUUAAAAAAUAAAAGAAGUGACUCCUUGGUAUUUCUGUGUAUUAUUUUCUUUACUGUAUUUUACUUGAUAAGAUCCCAAUGGACGAACUUUUACAUAGCUUGAAUUCUUUUACUAGAGUAACCAGGGCUGUAGUAAAUGAUGUUAUGCUUUUCAUGGGGAUAUGCCUAGGACAAAUUCCCAUAAUUGAAACUUCUAAGGCAGAGUGAAUGGAGCAGGCUUUGGGCACAGUACUUAUGUCACCACUUGGGAAACACACAUCCCCUAGCAAAGUGCCUGGUUCAAGUCCUGGCUGCUCUACUUCAGGUCCAACUCCCUGUUAAUGUGCCUGAGAAAGCAAUGGAAGGUAGCCCAAAUCCUUGGGCUCUUUCCACCCACAUAGGAAACCAAAAUGGAGUUCUGGGCCCCUGCUGUUUACAGCUGUUUGGAGCAUGAAACAGCAGUUAGAACAUCUCUAUCUCUCCCUCUCUCUGUCAUUCUGCCUUUCAAAUAAACAAUUUUUUUUUUUUUUUACAAAAAGCAUUCACAAGCCGGAAGUUCCUCUCCAAUGGGAUCACACUGCCAGGCAGUGGAACUUUUAUCUAUGGGGGUCCCAGUGCAAGGUCAUCACAUCACUGGGAGCCUCACCCUCAGAAGUGAGGAAUGUAGUUCUGGUGGCACCUGGUUAGUUCCCCAGAGAGGGCUUGUUAUCAAGAGAGCAAGCCAGGGCCUUGAAUCCCUCAGUCUUCCCAGCUGGCUGGGUCUCUCUUCUGCACCUGCUGCCACCACUCUGAUGCCAUCUGCCGUGAGCCCCACACCAGAGGCUGAACAGAUGGGGCCACCUGAUCCUGCCCUUUCAGCUUCCAACACGACGAGCCAAAAAACUUCUCAUUAUACAUUUCUCAGCUUCAGGAAUUUUUUAAUAGCAACAACAAACAGACUGAGACACUUUGUUAAUGGUACCUUUAUCCAUGAAAAAAUCAUUUAUCAGUCACAUUUAUCCAUCUUUUCUCUUUAUGACUGCUGGAUUCUGUGAAAUCCUUUCAAAUGCCUUUUCUACUUUAAGAUUGAAAAGGUGUCUUCAUGUUUACUUUUGGUUCUUUGAUUUUUUCAUUUGUAAAAGAUUUUAGUAUUCAAUAUAUCGAGAAUUUUUUUUUUUUUUGGUUUAAAGAGAGAGGUAGAAAUUCAACUUCAUUUUUUUCCAGGUUAUUACCUGAGUCAGUGCCUAAGUAACUACAGCUUCCACAUGGCACUAGGAGGCUCUUUGCAAGCUCUCCCCUGAGGCAGCCGUAUUAGGCUCUUGUAAUGCUUACCAUUCCUCUCUGCAAUGCCGAACAGAUUAUGCCAACAGGCAGCUCCAGACGUCUGAGGCUCUCCACCUGUUUACUAGCCAGUUCCUAAAGAUGCAGGGAGUGAGAUGAUAACUCAGGGCAUCUGAUGGGCAGAGACUGUCCACCAGCCAGAGGAAGAGGAAGGGCCAUGCCCUCUCCCACGCACCCUCACUGCACCCUGUGUUGGCUGUGCUGGCUGUGCAGGCUGGAGGGGCAGUCACACUGAGACAAGGAGCAGCAGGCUUCCUUUCCCCAUGCAACUGAAUCCAGCGAUGCUGAUUCCCAGCCAUGUAAGCCAGAGGUCUCAGUGGGUCUGGUGUUCAACUGUCCACCUGUGCUACAAGACGGCAGCAAUAGACAUGGGAUGGGCUUAAAGGAUCCAGCAGAUGAUGAGCAUGGCUUCUGGGGUGCGGAAGGAAGGAGCACCUGGAGCCUCAGCUUCUGAAGAGAGGCAAGCAAGAAACACGGCCACCCAAAGAGAGAAGGAAGCAUCGGUGUGCAGGUUGUCCCACCUGAGUGAUUGCAAACACAGGAGCAUCACACACUGAUCAACUUUGGAGUCCUUUAUUGCCCGAGAUCAUGCCCCAAAGAACUCUUGACCCCAAAGCUCAAAGAAACAGGGUUUAUAAAGGCAAAAACCACAAGGUUGGGGGAGGGGGAAUGCAUGGUUACUAGGGUCAAGCUGACCUAAGGCCUUUGGGAAGUAUCAAUUACAACCUUGACAACAGACAAAUUACAA